UAUACCGUUAUACGACAUCAUGUCCACUUUCUGGUACUCUGAACAUUCCUACGUUCGGCCUGAUGUACUAAAUUCCGUAGGCUUCGGUUGAUCUAGAGAUACCCCUUUUCUUUGCAGCAUUGGAUGGCUCCAUCGAACAUGUCCUCGAUCCCGUACUUAUACUCAAAACCGGCAUCCAACAGUUUCCUUGACGAUAGGCGGAAGAACCUGGGGCUUUUCAAUUCCUUCAAGGACCUACAAAGAUUUGAAAAGCUUUGCUUUCAGUCCAAGAACAGCAAUAAUCUGUUACAUCAUGAAAUGGAAUAUAACCGGACUUACUCUGGUGAGGGUAUCUGAAAUUCCGGGUAUCUUUCGGAGAGAAACUUGGACAUCUCCUCGAUGGUCAUUGUGGCCGAGGAACAUAUGUACCGCCCCUUGGCAUCAGAGUGCUCGAAGAGGAAGAUGUGUGCUCUCGCCAGGUCAUCUACAUGCACGAAAGAUACUUCGAGAAGAAGAGAGUACUCAUUCUCGUUCCCUGUUAAGUUUGAACGCAGUCAAUCUAAGAUUUGAGAUUCUUUGUAUCAUCGAAAUGAAGAUAAACAUAUGAAUGGACAGAUUUUAGUCUUGUCUUCCUUCGUCAUAUACUUGACAUUAAAUAGAGACCUUGUAAAAUUUUGGAAUUUAUGUAUCAUUUUGGGGACCAAAACAAUCAAAUUGGUCAUGAAUUUGACUAUAAUACAGAAUAUGUAAUCAUGAAAAGUUAUUGUAAAAUCUAUAGUCAUGUAGAUCAAUAUUAUUUGAACCUCAGCUUAUAUGAGAUUUCUGGGGAUAUCACGUGAUCAAUGGUAGACUGACCCUAUUUAUAUUUGAUCAUAUGAUUUUUUUCUCGUUUAUCACAUUACCUAAUACCAAAGCCAGCGAAAUUCGGACGGAUCCGGCAAACUUGGGGCAUAUGAAGGGCCCGUGGACAAAUGUGGGAACCACGGUCACCACUUCCAGUCCAUGCUGCUCGCCAAACUCGAGAACCGCCUUCUCAGUCAACGUCUUCGAGAUCCCAUACGAAGCUCCAAACUUCGUCAUUUGUCGGAUGGACUCGACAUCGCUCCAGGUGUCCUCAUCCAAUAUAUCGGCCCCGGAGUUGUUGAGUUGAGCUGCAGCCGCACUCGACGUGUACACAACCCGCUUCACUGUCUUGGAGUUCAGGCAGGCCUUCAGGAUGCCCAACGCUCCAUCGAUGCAUCGUUUGGUGACGACUGGCUCUGGCUCUCUGUCCUCGAAGUCCAUCGGGGUGGCAACGUGGAAGACUCCGACACAGCCCUUGACGGCUGGGCUGAAACUCUCGGGGUCACUGAGGUCAGCGGUUAGGAUUUGGAGCCUUUCUGAUGCUCCGGGUAGAUUUUUCAAGAAGCUCAUGUCCCUUUUGCCAUCUGAGCGGAACAAAUCGGUCAAUCGCUUUGCGAAUAAAAGCUCAAACAUCUAAUGGGAAACUGAUGUGUGAGGUUAACUGGAGAUAGCAGCCCAAAAUAAAUUAACCAACAUGACUCAUUCAGGAAACACUCCGAAUUACAGCAUUAAACUUAGCAACGAGAACUGCAAGAAAAGCCGAUUCGAGAGAGAAUGAGUGAAUUCAUAUGUCGGCAUAUGGUACAUGUGCAUCUCAAUCAUAUAAGAGAAACCAGAUCAUCAUUAACCAAUUCAGCUAUCGCUAAUCCAACCCAUCUUUAGUUCAUCUUAUGCCUCCUUAUGCUUGAAGAGGCAGCAAUAAGGGGUGGCUUUCUUAUAAUUCUAUGUCUAAUGACAAUUCCGAUCAGAAUGGAUCCUCAAACGCCCAAAUCGGACAAAAUACAUAGAAAUUUCUCCAUUUGUCGAUACCUCAACUUUCUGCAUAAACAUUUCACAUACACUUAAUCUAACAAUCAAUCUUUGAUCAAGAAAGCUAACCUUAGUAUUGCCAAUAAAUUUGCAGGCAUAGACAGAUCAGAUCAUGUUGGACCGUCAUGUCAACAUGUAUAGUACAAAACAUCAAUCUCAGACUAUACACUUGAUCAGAACUCAUGGCAAGAAUGAAUUUCCAUGUUCAAGCAGGAAGAAAGAAGAAGAGAGACUUACCCGGGUCAGGUCUGAUGGUGGUCCGGACGGAGUAACCAUGUUCAAGGAGCCUCAUGAUGAGCCAUGAAGCUAUGAAGCCAGUACCGCCUGUCACGCACACCGUGCCUCUGUUGCCCUCCAUGGCUUGGAGAAGUGAGACGCUUCAAUUUUCAGGAAGCGUCCAACUUUUUUGAGUGACCUCGAUGUUUUGGCCAGCAGAGCCGGUGCGCUUCUCCACUUAAAAGCGGAUGCAACGCCGCUUACGUCACUUUGAUUUUCAUUUUCAAAAGGGGCCAAAAAAAUAAAUGAGUGGUAACGGAUACAUCUUCCCCGAAAGUCAUCUUUCGAUUUGAAUAAUGAACUCAAUCUAUAUUUCAAUCAUCCAUCGUGGACUUAGUCCUACACCAAUGUGUCCAUAGACAAAUGUCUCUCAACAUUAAAUGCCUAACUUCAAAAGGGGCCAAAAAGAUAAAUGAGUGGUAACGAAUACAUCUUCCUCCGAAAGUCAUCUUUCAAUUUGAAUCAUAAACACUCAAUCUACAUUUCAAUCAUCCAUCGUGGACUUAGUCCGACAUUGAAUCAUAAACACUCAAUCUACAUUUCAAUCAUCCAUCGUGAACUUAGUCCUACACCAAUGUGUGCAUAGACAAGUGUCUCUCGACAUUAAAUGCCUAACACAAGUUGGCUUGAGAUUUUUUUUUUUUUUUGUUUGUGAUCGAGAGACAGCCGAAGAUUACUCUUUAAAAAUUACAGGACUAUUCACCGCAAGCCGCUAUUUAGACGUAAACCCUCGAGGGCUAGCCCAGUAAACCACCCUUGGACCCCACUUAAGUUGCGAAUAUCCGGAGAUUCGAACUCAUUCCCUCAGUAAUGUGAUAGUAAAGCCCAACCAUCACGGCUACCUGUGGGUGGGUCAAGUUGGCUUGAGAUUCAUACCCGAUAAAACUCUAAUUUAUGACUUAAUUAAAGACAAGAUACCCAUUUGCUACUAGACUACCACAUACCCAUUUGCUACUAGACUACCACAUUCGGUGGUGCAACAACUUGACAUAUGUUGGAUAAUAUAUAUAUAUUUCUUAUUUUAACAUCUUAAAUUCUUUGGGAAAAAAAAAGACUUGUUUAACAUGGUAUUAGAGCACAAGUGACAAGGUUGAAUGCUUGGACUCCCUCCCAUGUUUUAUAUGUUUAUCCGUCCUCAAUUUUUCAUUUGAUGUGAUUAUGCACCUAUCUCGUAUUUCAAAUGUAAGUCUUGAUUCAUACACAAGAGAGGGUGUUAAAUAAUAUGGUGUAUCUAUAAUGUUGGCAACCAUCUAAACAACUUAAAAAAUGAUUUGUGUCACUAUCUAUAGAUCUUUUGAUUUCAUAAAAUUCAAUGAAUUCGUCAUUUCAUUCAAGUUUUUCACUCUAUCAUCAAUCAAUAGUUGGACGGAAGCCUUGCAACAUGGCCAGCUAUUAUUUCUUUUUUCUAUGGAGUGUCGGGAUCAUAACAAAUACACAAAAAGAUCUUAACAAUUGUUUGUGAAAAUCAAUUUGCGAUCGACCCUAGAAUAAGUUUUAUGUUUUUCUUUAUUCAUUUCUUCGUGUGAUCUUGCGAUAUUCCAUGCCAUUCAAUAAUAAAUGUAUAACUUGAAAGUACUAAUUUGAACUUUCAUUUUAUGAACAAAAUUUUUACUUUAUCAAUGUUCAUAUUUUUCAUAUGUUUUUAUGACUAGUGAAUUGUAAAAGUAAAUGGCGGUCAUAAUUUUUCUUAAUUCAUUACAAUUAAUUAAUUAAUAAUAUAGAUGAAAUCUAGGUAAAUCUCUAAACUAAUCAUGAAACUUAUGACAAAAAGAUUGGUACGAUUUUAUUAUUAUUCUAACCCCGUAAGAGGACGACCCUCGUCGUGCCUUUCGAUGUGAGUGGAGGUUUCCACAAUUCUCUGUCAAGGUCCUGCUCGAAUGCUGGUGGUGAGCUUGGCGCUCGGUCUCAAUCCACCGAAAGGGACCAUUCAUGGCGAAAAACCUUGCUUUUCGAUUCCUUCCAACUUUUUAUCCGGAGUAGCGCCUGACCGGUGUCAAUCGUUUACACGAUCUUUAUCCUCACCCCAGCUGUGGUUGGACGAAACGGAAACUGUACUUGCCUCAGUGGGAAGCACGCCUAGUUAGGUUAAUCACUGCAUGUUGACUUUCUUUCCAGUGAUGAAGCAAAGCUACUUUUCUUUUUGUGUCUCUCGUGCGUCCGUCCUCUCGUUUCCCCCACUUUUGCCAUUUGAUCCGCACGCUGGUCCGAUUUCUCUGAAGAUGUGGGUGAUUCUACACUGACCCAGCAGCCGCAUUAGGUCCGUAUAUGGUACUCAUGUUGAUGACAAAAUUUUCUUUUAGAUCACUUCAAUGUCACUUUUUAAAAAAAUAAUCAUUAAGUAUCAAUUCCGAUUUAGAUGGCGGGAAAUUUGACUUGGCCUUAUUUUAUUAACAUUUCCUACUAACGCGACUUGCCAUAAUGCUUCAUUGGCAUUUUAUUCUUUAAACUGUGUCCUUUUCAACUUUUACCCCAAAUUUGAAACCCUAAUUUAAUUUUUCCCCCAAAAUCACUCUUCCUCUCCACAAAGCCACUGCAAAUCGAGGUCAAACUUUUUUCUUUGCUUAUGGUGGAAUGCUCGUGAGACUGUGUUAGUGAGUGAAGAAGGCCAAAUUUCAUUGGUUAACUGAUGAUUACUUGAUUGUGAGAUGGCAAUUUGUAGAGAGCGACUAAGCUACCUGAAAUGGUGGGCACGUGAGCAAGAGGAUGGGGCACAAUAGAGAAACAAUAUUGAGGGGAAUAAAUAUCCGUGCCCUACUUCAACUUUCCCCUAAGAGAUAGCCUUAAUAUCAUAUCGGAUGCAACCAAGAUAGAAUGCCAGAAUUUCUAGGUAUCCUUGGACCGAUUGAAAGCGAAAACAGAAAUAAAAUUUGGAUUGGAGAGUAGGCAAAAAUCGUCGGUGUUCAAGGAGAUACAGUUGAACCAGUGAAGGUGUUGAAAGGACGAAGACCCCUCAUGAGUAAGAUGUAGACGAAAGCUCAACAACUAUACUCCUUUGCUCUUGGGAUAAAAUGUCUCGGCUUUGUACCCUAUUGGAAGAGGGAUCUUGGAGUUUGAGAACAAGGAUGAAAAUUAUAGUCUAAUCCAUGCUUGGAGAAUUCAAAAGGGGCCAUGGAAGACCCCAGCAAUAGUAGUGGGUACACCCACAGCAAUAGAGGCGAAACCUAAUCCCCGAUAGAGAGUCGCUAGGGCAAGACGACCCAUAGCAAUGUGUUUGCCUUGUGAGAGUUAAAAAGCCAAACCCCUCAACUCUCGACCUACUUGAAGAGAAGAAUGGCAAAAAUCAAACUUGGACAGCCAGUAAAGCAGGAAAGCUACAUGCUCUUCAUUUUCGACAUCACCCGUCCGGUGAGCAUAGGUGGUUUAAAAAUGGGUACAAGAAAGAUCGGCAUCUUGAAGAAAAAAGGAGCGAGCCACAAGAUCAACGGCACUGGUGUCAUCGCCAUAUGGACUCAAGCCAGUGAUAGCAUACAAAUCCAGAGGGUUACCAACAUGGGGCCAAAUCUAAGAAAGAAACAAUUGACCGAUGGAGACUAGAAACUUGCUAGGCUCCCUAAAAGUUUAUGGUUAAGCUUCCAGUCAAAGGUACAAAACUCUAAGGCUUUAUCGAUUCGAGCUUUACGCCAUACCUCGUAGUUAGCAUUUUUCAAUCUAAAAUACCAUUCAAAUAAGACAUGAUCGAAAGGAUAAAAUGUCCUAAGCUUUUGAGAAGAGGGACUCAAGACAUGCUCCAAAAGGUGAUCCCUUUGGGAGGCUGGGACACAUGUAGUGUUAAAACUUGGCAUGAUGGGACAUUUAAAUACAAAAAGUUAAGAAAAUGACACUUAAACACCAAAAUCAGAGCAAAAUGGAUCGAUUAAGUGCCAACGGCAAUUGAAGAUUUACUAAAUAUUGCACCUAGAAAGGAAAGGAUCCUAUUGAUGAGAAGAAACUACCUUAAAUAACAAAGACAGGGCUUCAACACCGACAGAAGAAGUCAAUAGAGUACAACAUGCGAAAUGGGUGGCAAAGGAGAUUUGGUAUAAAUUGGUGGUAACCCAUGUGGAAACCAGCAAAAUGAAGAAGAGCAAAAUUAUCUCUCUCACAACUAGUUAGGAUAUGUUCAAUAUGGAUGAGAACAUAUGUAUACUCAUCUAACAAAUACCGUGCAUGAACUACCAUUGCCUGGCAAAAUUUUCGAAAAUGCAGAAUUGAUUCUUUUGUUGGGCAUAGCAUCAAGAUCCUUCUGACUCAUAAAUCACUUCAAAAGUCCUUGAAAUAUUUUCCAGAUUAAUCUAGGAGAGACGCAAUAUACGAGUCACAAGGAUCUUGAUGCUAUGCCAGCCAAAGAAUUAAUUGGAUCAGUGAUGACUAUGAAGUCGAAAAAUGACUAUUUAGGUGGAAACACCAAGAAGAACAUAUCAGUUGCUCAUCACUCAAAUGAGGAUACCAACUCUUCAGGUAACGGUGAUUGAGACUAUCAUACUUCCUAGAAAAGUUCAAGCGUUUUCUCCAAAACUUUAAAGGCAAAAAAGCUAUCACGGAACAACAGCAGAAGCGAUUGACACAAAAAGGACGUAACUUGCUUUGAUUGUAAGAAAGUCGGACAUAUCGAGUUCGACAAUCCUGCUAACAAGAGGAAGACGACGAGAUCAAAGAAAUACAAGGCAAAGAAAUCGAGUUGAAGCAAUCUCCGUAUCUCUAGUGAAGAGGUAAACUCUUGAUUGUGAUGCUUUUUGAUGAUGAUUUUGAUUUUGCAUUUGAAGAAAUGUGUAUUGAAUGAGGGAAAUUGUUCUUUAAAGGAACAAAAUACUGUUUUGAAGAAAGAAAGUAUGUUUUAUGCAAUGUUCCCCAUAAGAUUAGGGGGAGUUACUUGAUAUAGAAUGGAUAAAAAGAGGCUGGAGAUAUUAUUAUUAUUAUUAUUAUUAUUAUUAUUAUUAUUAUUAUUAUUAUUAUUAUUAUUAUUAUUAUUAUUAUUAUUAUUAUUUUGGUAAAGGACUGGAGAUAUUAUUGUCUAUGGUAUUCUACAAAAGUGUAAUAUGAGAAGUUGAAUGUCAAGUAUUGAAAAUGACCCAUUUGUAGUUUAAUCUUACAGCACAUGGCAACAUCGAUAGUGCAUUAAGCAUUAGAAACAAAGAUUGCCGACACUAUUGACAAAGAACAAAACAUGCAUAUGCAGUGAUCAAUGCUAUAAGUGCAACAUACUCUCAGUACUACAACAUCAAAUACAAAAGAACGGAAGUAUACAGUAUCAAGAUUAUUCAUGCGGUUUAAUAUCUCGUGUGUAGCCAACCGAGAGAUCAGUUUUCACAAGCUGUGCUAGAUACAUGGUACACGUUUUCUCGACGUGUUCCUUUAUUUUUUGUCUGCAAUUUUUCUUAAGAGGACUACAUGAAAAUGAACCCAGACAUUUGCCCUGGCCUGCAUACCGAAUUUUGUUGUAUACAUCGACUGCGAUUGAUCUAAAGAAAUCCCUUUUCUUUGCAGCACCAGAUGGCUCCGUCGAACAUGUCCCUAAUCCUGUACUUAUACUCGAAACCGGCGUCCAACAGCUUCCUCGACAAAAGGCUGGCGAAUAUGAGGCCUUUCACUUCCUUCAAGGACCUGCAAGGAUUUGAAAUUUUUUACUUUGACUUCAAGAACAUCAAUAGCGGAUCUGUUAAAUCAUGAAAUGAGAUAUGAGAAGACUUAAUCUAGCGAGGGUAUAUGAAACUCCGAGUAUCUUUUCGAGAGAAACUUGACAUCUCUUUAAGGAACAGAUGUAAGAGUUUUUCUGAUGUAAACUACAUUAAUUAAGAUUGUAAUUUAUCGUUUUACGGGGUUGGUCUAAUAAGAUAAGGCAUAAGGUUUCUUAAUAGUCGAAUAUGGGUCUGACUUAUGUGGGCUAAGUUAGGCCCAACCCGUGAUGAGAGACCCAUCUAAAACUUUAUAAAUAGGGCUAAGAUCCCUCCUCUAACCCUCAUUCUUCCACGAACACUCUCUCACCUCACAUAAGGAAGUCGUGAGGGGCGGUCUCAUCACACUAGGAUCCGAGGACCAUAGAGGAGAAGAACCUCAAAUCGUCAUCAUUCCGCAUAAAGAACGGUGGAUUUUAAAUUAGGUACACAAAUCUUCGUCUACUUCUCCAACAUGUUUGAGUUUCUACUUAAGUCAAUCCUAGGAUGCCGCUUCGACGGCCAACAUUUGGUAUGAGAGCCUCGUAGCCUAAAACUCCAACUAUUGCAUUUGGCCCGUAUUCGGAAAUUUUGUCCAUUGAAACUUGAUUUUGAAAACAUAUUUAGACUUAUCUCAUUGGGAUGAGCAUUUCGAUGGAUGGCACACCUCCGAUGGAGGUCAAACGCACCGCCCAUUAACAUUUCGAAUUUAACCUACCUUUGGACUGUUUUGAUGGUUUUCAUGAUUUUUGGUCCAGUGAAAGUGGAUUUGAUCACUUAUUUGGCUUUUAUUCGUUAAUAUGAACAUUUUGGUGGGUCGUACACCUCCAAACAAGGUUGGACGCACCGCCACAUACCUACAUGCGUUGCCGCGGCUCCAGUGCGUGAUCACCUAAGGCAAUGGGUGACGUCAUCAAUCAUGUCACCUUGCUGACUCGCGCCACUGCCAUACUGUGAUGAUGUCAUGGCUAACGUCAAAGGGCGAUGAUGACCGGCGUUGACCAAGUUGACCUGACCUAAGUUGAUUAGGUCCUGACCCAGUGGACAAUUAACUAGUCUCGAUGGACUAUUGAUUGGUCGGAUCAGUCGAACCGUUGAUCGGUUGGAUCGAUCGAUACUAAGGUACUAGUCAAUUUGGCAUGCUCGCGUGUGCAGCUCACAUGCCACGCAUUCCGGCAGCGCGUGAGGCGUCCUUUGGGACAUGGUUUGCAUCGGCGUACUCAUAUAAAAGUACUCUACACUAUGAUGUGUUUAUUUUAUAUGUUUGAUGAUUUUAUGGAUAUGAACAUGCAUGUGAAACCCUAAAGUACAUGAUUUUUUGGGUAUUUUUGAGUAUUUUUCAUGUAUUUCUCUAUGAUUUUGGAAAUACGUUAUGAACUUGCAUGUGUAUCAUCACAUAAAGAUUGUGUAGAGCAUUGAUUCAUUAAUAAUAUGUAUAAGAUUCAGCAUUAAUGAAUAGAGUAAUGUGAUUAACAUGACAUGUGAUUUUAGUGACAAAUUGCCCCUGUCAUCAAGUCUAAAAUCACAUGUAUAAGAUGAAUGUGAGUCAUAAAAUUUAUAUUACUCGUAUGAGAGAAUUUUAAUGAUUCAAUUGGGUUGUGAUCGUCAAAGUGGCAUGCUUGGUUGAAUUUGAGAAAUAUCGAUAUCAUAUCCUGAUGAGAUGUCUCAUGUUCUAAUGCAUGGUCAUACUCUUAAAUGAGGUGAUUGUGUAUUAAUUUAUAGAGAGAUGCAUGCACAACAUAUAGUUGAGGAGUGACUAACCUUAGCGAACAUACACCCAUAAGUGGUGAAUUCACAAAAGGUUAGAAUAUAUCCUCAUAAUCAUUGUCAUGUGGAGGGUAUACAAUUAUAUAUAAUGUAUUCUGCCUAAAAUUGUUUAUAAGAUGAUGCAUGUAGCUCUCGACAAGUGUACUUAUAAGGUUUUCAAGUUACAUAAUACUCACAUGAUGUCAACUGCAUAUGCUACUUAUUAUUAAGUUACAUUCUCUAUAAUGGCAACUCCGUUGUGAUUGAGAUUCUUAAUGAGUCAAAUUUUAAGUAGUAAAAAGAGGGUUUUUUAUUUGGGACGAAGGUGGUAGACAUUUAUAUUGCUCUUACUAAAAAUAAAUUAGCAAUCUCACUAUUAGCGACAUGGAACUAGAAAGCACUUUUGGCUGCUUAGGAAAAUGGCAAUUAAAUUUGUUCAUUAUCCAUGAGGCAUUCCAUUUAGGAACACUUGAAAAUGAUUUACUAGCUGACUACACUGCUAAAAGGAUGAUGAAAUUGAAAUUAUGUCUUGUCUAAUGCUGAGAUUGGGUUAAAUGCAAUGACUAUUCAACAUAAAGUGAGAUGGUUUUGAUGAUGUUAAGGAUUACGUCCUAAGAAUGGUAGAUUUGAAAUCCAAAAUCAUACUCAUAAAAGAACUCAUGAAACCACUAGUCAUUCUAACAAUUUGAUUGUAGGAUAGCACCAUUUAAGAGAAAUUGUGGCAUUUGCUACUUUGUAGGAAAAAAUGACACAUAAGGAAUAUUGUAAUAAAUAUAAAGCUUGGUUCUCCAAGCUUAAGUAUCACAACCCCAACUCCAUCUUGGAGGUCGAGCUGUAGGGUAUUUUGCGACAUCCCAAGCUUUGUCGCCAUCCCAAAUUCAUUUGCUUCUUAUUUAUGCACAUGCGAAAAGUGUAAACAUACAAUCCCUGACACAAAUAACAUGGGAACAUGAAAUACAAAUAUCACUAACAUACUUCAUGUAUCAUAUAAGUAGUGAUGAUUACAAGCUUAUUUUACAUACGAAAGUGGCUUGGGGUAUCCCUUUCUCCGUUGCAGUGGGUAUUAAUCAAAAUUGGGAACCUUCUUCUUUUACAUAGGGCCGGUAUGCUUAUCUUAGUCCAAAUCCUCGAACGGUUCAUCCAUAUCACUAAGAUUUGGGUGCGGGUUGUCAAACCCGCGAAGAGGUCCUAUCCAUAUGCCCUUGUAUCUCCUAUACCAGGCUUUGAAAUGCAAUGGGACAAGCUCACCCAAGCCAUUUUCUAUCCAUACAACGGAUGACACUUUACAAUAUGUAACAUCAGUUUCUACAUCUAUCACGUCCGUCAUAGUAGUAUAUAUCUUUAUAGGGCAACAAAAAUACACAGUAGCCAUGAUUCUAAGUACCUAUUAAAGAAACAUGGAUGAGUACUUGGAAUACUCAGUAAGUAUAGCCUCUAGCCUUCGAAUAGAACAUUGAUUCAUCAUCAACACUAGUGAAUUAUUUCACGCAAAUCAUUGUGAAGGCAAAUCAAUUGCAAGAUGCAACCAAGCUUCAAGCACAAAUGAAUGACAAUUCUUGCAAUCUUUCGUGCUUAUGAUGCAUGCCCUAAGCUUAUGCACUCUAGCCUUUCUUUCUUGCUCAUGCAUGGCAUGCUUAUUAAGCUUUUCUCUUAUGCUCGAAACUCGAACCCAAGUCUUCUCGGAGCCGUCUUGGGACUCAAACCCAAAUCAAUUCGGGCUUUUAAACCAAGCUUCCUAGAGUUGUCUUGAUACUCAAACCCAAUUCAAUUAGGGCUUUUUAACUGGGCUUAUAGCUUUUUGCCGACUUCUAGGGCUCAAACCCAGUUAAUAUGCUCGAGACUCGAACCCAAGUCUUAUGCCAACCUCUGGGACUCGAACACAAUUCUUGCUAGGAAUCCGGGGACUCAAACCUCAUUCUUAUCUUUUCUUAUCUUUGCUCAAGCACAAAUCCCUUCUUAAGGGUGUAUUCAAGUCUUAUGCACAUGCCAUGAACUAUGCAUUUCAUGCUCAAACAUGAUGCACGUGCCAUGAAAUCAUGAAUUUCUUCAUCAACAACAUCAUGAACGAGCCUAAGCCCAAAGCUCCGCUCGAGUAGCAAGCAUAAAGGAACCCCGCACCAAUCCAAGACGUGAACUCGGUACGCCUCAAUACCGAAUCACAUAUUAUGGCUAUGGGCGAACCUCGACUUAUACCGAACAAAAGCUAUGAACCAUGACUUCAUUCUAGUCAUACAAGAAAUUCAAGUACAUGAACAAGUCAUAGAAUACAUCAAACAUCUAAGAAUCAAUCGACCUACCUUCGACUUGUUUGCAAUAGGAUUUCCUAGAGUUAAAGACGUCUCGAAUGUUACUAAAAGAAAAGAGAAAAUAUACUUACUUGGAUGAAUCUCGAACUAAAGCUCAAACUAUACAAGAUGGGUGGCUUUCCUUGGAGGCUAAAAGAGAGAAAGUGAGCGUGAGAGGAGGGGCAACUAAGGAGGAGGAAUGAGGAGGAAAUGGGAGAAAGGUGGUGGAAAUGAGAAGAGACUCCUCCUAUUUAUAACUCUUGGUGUCAUCAUUACUAAGCCAAGCAGUCUAUUCCUAUGAUCCCAAGUGUCUCACCUAAUUUCCUUGGGUCGCAAGUCUACUUUGCCUCAUGAUUACACCUAGAAGAUGAGUUGGCCAAGCUAAAAGCCUUGCUUGGCAAUCUAAGCUCUUAGGCGUCAUUGAUGAUGGCCCUCUUUUUGCUCUUUCAUUGGUCCACCUAGAUGUCGCAUUCAAUGGACAUUUAAUGAAAUUUGACAAUAAUUGUACUAUAGUUGCCAACUUGGCAAUUCUAGAAUAUUCGGUCAUUAAUGAAGGCUUGUGUAUCACUAUCUAAUUAGUCCACAUAUGUGCCGCAUUUUUCUAGAAUCUUCAAAGAUAUUUUGGCCUCCAUCAUAACUUUUGACUAUUUAAAGAACAACUCACCCCUUCAUUUAAUGAGGGGGUUCUAGGAUUUUCCAUAUUUUGUCUUUUUCUUCAUUAAUAAGGUGAUCUAGAGAAUCCUAUCAUCCAAGUUGGUUCCGAAGCCGAAGAAUGGAUCAUUAGGUACACCUCAAAAAAUCAAAUCACGUUUACCCAAGGUUCGGCCAUCACGUCCCAUAUUUGCCCAAACCGUUCCUUUGGACGGUCGGUCGGCACGAUCGGUUGUCCUUUAAUCAAUUUGAGACCAAUCCUAAGGCUACUCGUGGCCUAGCACUAAGCUAAAGCACUCAUGGACCUUGGAAUUAGUGAUGGAAUAGCCGAGUCUAUCCCUGAGCUCAUUUCGAUCGGUACCUGAUCCAUCGAUAGGGUUCAUGAUCGGUACAUUACCAAUCCAUGAUCGGACAUCACCAAUUCGAGAUUUUGUUCCAAUCACUAAGAAUUAAUAGGAAAUGAUGUAUUUUUGGUUGGAAGAUGAUCGCAUUUGAUCAAUUCAGAUCAUCCGUGUAUCGGUGCAUAACUGGGUAGAAUCACCCGCGACCAAAAACUUCGAUCGAUUAGAUUGACCCAUGACCAUCCACCGAUCCAAAAUCUUCCCACAGCCAAUUCUCAUUAUCAAAAAGUCAUCUUAUGAGCUGGUGAUCAUAUCCCAUUGGUAUGGUCAGUAAAAAAUUCGAGGCCAACAUCUCAACCGAUUCGUUACUGGCCGAUCGGUUGGUUGGUCGGUCGGUCGGUCGGUCGAUUGGAUUAUGAUCAAUCCAUGAUUCCUUACCGAUCAAAUUGAUCGAUCCAUGGCCAAUGGCCCAUGAUCAAUCCUUUUAGGACCUUAUGGCCGAUUCUUACAAGGUUGGAAUCAAGGAUGUUACAGUAAGUCUAGAGUUGAUGAUUCCUUAGCAUUCAUUUAUGGAUCCAACUCCUAUCAAAAGCCUCAUUUGAUUCUUGGUGGCUAGACAAUGGUGUAGCAAAUUAUGUUAUUUGCCAUUAGGGGAUUCAUAAAUCUAAAUAAGCCAAAUCAAGAUAAAUCAUAACUCAUCAUGGGAAACAUUAUUUAAUAUUGAAUUAGUGGGAGAUAUUAUUUUGAUUCUAAAUUCUAGUUUUAACUAUGUUUUCCAUGUCAAAUAAAGUUGGGUGCUACAAUAUGUCAAAUGGAUUAUACUAAUUAUACUAACCUCCCAACGUUAUGUACGUCGUUUAUACAGUUUAAAAUGUUGUUUACAAUAGAUAUUUACCAAAGGAACAGUCUUAUGCAUUGUAGCAUAGACGUCUUGAUCAUAUAUCUAGAGAAAGAGUGAAAAGACUGAUAAUGUUGAUAUUUUGUCUACUCUUAAAAGUUACCUAAAUACUUGUGUAGACUAUUGUUGAAAUAAGAUGAUUAAGAUAAAGAAGUAAAUUGCAGUUUGAAGUCCUAACAUGUUGAAGGUCAUUUACACUAAUAUUGGUGGACUAUAUAUGGUAACAUUGUAUAUAAAUUUUUCAUUUCAACACAGUCAUUAACGACUAUUCUUUUUAUAUUUGAUUAAAGAAAAGUUUGAAUCUUUGGAUAAAUUCAAGUUCUUUUGGACCAAAGUCAGUUGUGAUAAGAUUUAAAGAUUGUCAUAUAUGAUUGCAGUGGUGAAUAAUUUGACAAGUAUAGCAAUGCUGGAUAGCUUAAAAGAUUUUUUUGUCAAAUACUUGGAAAAAUUCUAAGAUGGUAACUUUGUUUAUUAUGCCUGAAAAACUUGAACAAAUUGGUAUGGCCGAAAGGCGUAAUUGCAUUAUAAUGGACAUGAUAGUGAGUAUGAUUACAAUGAUAAUUUAUCAAGUUUUCUAUAGGACAAAACAGUCCAAUAUGCAUUGAACUGCUGUUGACACCUAAAUUUUGAUUAGGUUUUUAAAUUAGGCCUUAGUCUCUUUUAAUUUUUGUUUUUCCUUCGGAUAAUAAUAAAUAAUAAAAACAACAAAAAAAUAGUAAAAACAAAAGAAAGCAAAAGCCCAGCCCCUCCCCUCUUUUUCUCUCUCUUGCGCGGGCCCAGGGCCCAGCCCUUGUUUUCUUGAGUUUUGGCCCGCCCCCCCCCCCCCUUCUCUUCUUCUUCCUCCUGUCUUCUUCCUCCUCAGUCACCUGCAUCUCACGCACGGUGGCCGGCGAUGUGCGCGAAGGAUGGCCUAUGGCCGAGGGGAGUAGGCCGACGUCAGCCGGAGAGGAUAAGAUUCAAGCGCCAUCAAUGCCGAGCACGCUUCGUUGGACAGGUGGCGGAUGGGACGCCGGUUCGGCCACAAGGGUCCGGUCGGCAAGCCAAAGACCGGCGGCCGAGCCUCUCCGUCGACCGGACCUCCUCGCCUAUAAAUAGCGAAGCAUUUCUGUCGUCGAGGGAGACACGAGCGAGCUCCGAGAUCUUCCCACUGAGAGACUUCGGGGGAGGAAUCAAAGAGCAAGCGAGAGAGAACUUGGGUCGCGAGCUCGGCUGACCUCCCACUGAGAGACUUCGGGGUAGGCCGCCGGCGAGCGAGUCCGAGGAGGUUAGAUCUGGCCGGUGGAGGCUCGAAUCUAGCUAGAGUGAGAGACAACCAAGGCUGAGGGGACUGCUGGAGAGAAGAGGAGUCGGAGAAAGCCGCUGUGAGCCGAGCACCAAUUGCGAACCGCGAGAUCUCGACGCUAGUUGCUGCUGCUGUCUCCCCCACGAGCCGCUUCUCCUCCGAAGCUCGAAGAACCAAUGCGAAAUCGAAGUUUCCCUGGUUGUGCUAGUCCGUCGUUGCAGCCGCAACAACCCCCGAUGCCGUCCAGGUUUAAGGGCCGCCGUCAUCGCCACAAGCCGUGCCGCCGUGCCAUGCCAAAGCCGAGAGCAGGUGACGAUGGAGCCCUGCCUACGCCGUCCAUCCAAAGCUCUAAUGGUCGUCGCCUUUGCCAUUCACUGCCGUCGCCGUAGCCACCGUAGCCGCCGUAAUGCUCUCGUUUCCCCCCCCCCUUCGGCGCCGUGAAUUCGCAAGCCCUAGGGUUUGCAAUUUCCGGGUCAUAAAGCGGAUCCGGGUUUGGAAAACGGGUAGGGAUUCCGUGAUUUAAGGGGCGGCGGAAGCCGGGUCGGAUCCGGGUAGGGUUUUCGCCAGGAAGCCGGGUCAUCGGGUCGGGCCGGGUGUCCUCGAACGCCCGACCACGACGCCGUUUCAACAAAACAAAAAAAGGAAAAAAACUGAGUCGUUUUGGGUCGUCAACCCGGGUUGGGCACAACCCAUGGAUCCAACCUGGGUCGGUUUUUAUUUUAAAUAAUAUUUUAAAUAAACAAAUAAUAAAUAAAUAAUUUAUUUUCCAAAAAAACAAAAAUAUCCAAAAUAUAUUUUAUUUUCCAAAAAUAUUAAAAAAUGUUUUGAUUUCCAGAAAUCGAAAAAUAAAAAAAAAUGAUAAAAAUAUUUUAUUUUCCGAAAAAUCAAAAAAAUCAAAAAUAUUUCAUAUUUUCCAAAAAAAUGCCAAAAAUCCAAAAAAAAGCCAAAAAUUCAUGAAAAAGCCAAAAAAAUUCAGAAAAAGCCAAAAAGACUUGUAUUUUUUUUUUCCAAAAAUACCAAAAAAAUCCCCAAAAAUCCCUUUUGUGUCCAAAAAAUUAGAAAUAGACUCAAAAAAUAUUUUUCCUCCCAAAAAUGCAUGGAAAAUCCCUCAAAAAUCCAAAAAAGCCUUAGGGUUUAAACAAGAUUAGGUACCGAAAGGGCAUUAGUGAUUAACUAGUGUAAUCAAGUCCUCGAUCCUAAUUUCUCUGGUUACGCAGGAGUGAGUAUUUCUCCCGAUACUUCACUUGGGUUUCUAAUCAACCCACCCCAAAUCGAUUAGUGGCGACUCCAUUUUAAAAAUUGAUUUACAGGUUAAAAACUCAGACUAUUAAAGUCGUGAAUUGGUGGACUUAGGAGAGUCCGGGCAUAACUAAUUUCAGCCGAACAAUUAGCCUCCUUAGGCGCUCGUACCCGAUUGCGAGCGCCGAAAAAAAAGAGGUCGCGACAAUUUGGCGACUACGCUGGGGAAACUUCGAAGACUUAGGCCAUUUUUGUCUUGUUUAAAUUCUUUACUAACUUAGGUUUUUUUUCUUUAUGCAGGUCAAAAGCUUAGAAAUUUAUUUUAAUUUUUGCUUAAAAUAGAUUAUCUUGUGAUUAUAAACUGUUGUGCAUGCUUUACUGUUUUAAACACUACACAUGGCACACACAACCCGGCCGCCGGACCUGGGCCGCCAUAGGAUUUCUAGGAUGGUGUUAAGAAAGAUACGAUCUUGAACGCGAGACUGCGAUGUAGAGGUUGCCUUUCUUUUCCCCGAAUUUCUUAGCCGAGGUUAAGAGGGUAUGCUGCUAACGCGAGACUGCGACGGGCGGAUACCUUUUUAAUUUCAUCAAGCUUUCUGAGUUAGAAAUCGAGCCGCACGUCCCAUGCGCAUGUCCUUGUGCUUGCCAUUUUAUUUAAAAGCAAAGUGAUUUCUUUACUUUUACUUAGUCUUUUUAUUGGCCCAUGGCAAUUUAGGAUAAGCUUUUCAAAGUCCCAGUCUAUAUGUGAUGGGGAAAGACGAUAUCCAGUUCAUUCCUGCUCCCAAAGCGGAACUCUUCAGAUGGUGGGGUCAAUUGGAUCAGUUUGCCCAAGAGCGCGUGAAAGCCAAAAUCGGUCAUCUCCUAUCGUUGAUUCAAAUCACUGUUCGUCCCAAAGUCAUACAAGCCAUGGCACAUUUCUGGUGCCCAAAGACGACUACUUUUAUGUUUGGUGGGUUUGAGCUAACCCCAACUCUAGAAGAAUACAUCAUCAUCACUGGAAUGCCUCUUAAGAAAAAGCUUGUUAGGCCAUCGACAGGCGCCCUCCCGUGGCGCGGGUUAGCGCGACUUUUAGGAACUGAAAUCCAUGUCAUGAGACAAAUUCUUGAAAACAACAAUAAUACCUGCCCACUAGAAUUCAUGAAUGCCUGUUUUCAAAAUCAACCUAUGACCCAAAAAAGCAAGAUUUUUCUCCUGGCCUUUUUUGGGUUAAUCAUUUUCCCACAUCAAAGAAAUGUCAUAAGUCCUAAGAUGGCAUGGAUAGUUGAUCAGAUCUCAAGGGGGCAAAAUUAUGUCAACAUGAUUUUAACUGAAACAUUUUUGUCCUUUAAUCGUUUUAAAGAAAACACGGAAAAAAUCAUGCGGGUCUCUCCGGAAAUUUUACAAGUCUGGUUCUUUUCUCACCUAAGUGAAUUCCGAGACUUCAUGCGAUCGUCUGGAAUGAAUGAUUUCGAAAAUCCGUUACAAAAAUUUAUGGUUUUAGGACCAUACAUUCCCAAUCAAAGCUGUUUAAAUUGGAUAAACUUCCUAAGAGACCCGGCUCCUAAGGCAUUCCAAUGGUGUGCUGGUUGGUUCUAUGAAAAGAGAGCUCGCUUUGCUUUCAAGCGCCGCUAUCCAAUUCCGUUACUCGACCUCAUCGGUGCCAUUUCCUACUUCCCACAUAGGGUGGAACGACAGUAUUGAGCCCUUCAGGAGAUCCCGCCAUCUUUCAAGAAGAGGGUCCCUCGACUCCUUUUCACCCAUCGAAGUUUUAAAUACACGUUUGAGAUUGACAUUAUUGAGGAAGCAUGGAGCAGGUGCCAUCGCAAAAGGAUCGUGGUACCUGAAGGGCUUAAGGGAGAAGAAAAACCCACCACGCCUCCAUGUCCUACAUCUACAACCAUCGUAUCCUGACAAAAUGGAAGCCGUCAGUCCCUCACUCAAUCAGCGAGAGCAGCCAACACGAGCAAGCAGAGCUCAUGGAGAGGGAUUUGGGAAUGGACUGGAUACACACCUCAGAGCCAGUUCAAGGAAGCAGGCGUCCUCGCAAGAACAAGGCUUCCCGUCGCAUAUAAAUUGGCAAUCCUGUGCCCCUUAGUGUAAAUAGUGUGAAAGUUUUGUCCAAUUGUUUAGGGACUUUUGUUUAAUAUCUAGUAUUUCAUUCUGUCAUUUCAAUUUCAAGUUUUAGAUGUUAGAAGUAUGCGGUCUAUAAAAUCCUCUUUUGAUAAAUAAAAAAAGCAGUUAAACCAUUGCCAUGGGUAAAUCUUUGUUUACUUUUGUGCUCAUUCAUUGUUUUCGCAACAAGCAGGUAAUUAUGAAUCGCCGGCUACCAAUCGCCCGCGAAUGGCCUCAUGCAAUAGGGCCUGAUCAGAAUGAUGUAUAAAAUCGCCUUAUUAACAUUGAAGACGGCGUAGGACAGAUGUCCAUUGUCAUUCGACAACUCUCGAGACAAAUGAAAUCUACUCAAAAUGAGCCCAACACCGUCAUGACACCCGCAAAUUUGCUAGAAAAUAGCCAGUACCAUAGACAGUUUGAAAGGAUCAUGAAAAAGUUAAACCAACUGCGGGAGCAGAAUCCCAUAGACCUGUCCAAUUACGCCAGCAUUGAGAUCCUUGAAAAACUCAAAGCACUUGAAUGCGAAAGGUAUGCUAAUACCUCCCGCCCAGAGACCUACUUGCAGGCCUACCUGGUUCGAAGGAUGAUUCAAUCGUACCAAUCAAGCUUGACUGGCCCUGCCUUGCGAUGGUACAUUGUCAGGAAGAUUAGUCCCCUUAAAACCUGGAGGGAACUAAUUCAUGCUUUUCACCAAGAAUAUGAUAUUGACAUCAGCCCUGACAUAGCCUUGCCCUACGAAGAACUGAUGAUCGCGGAGCACGAGGAACCGUUAGUCGCUAAGAUAGGAGAAGAGCAUGUCAAUGAAGCCUUGCAUGAUAAAUGGGCAGCUGAACAACACCCUGUUACUGGAAAAUUUCCCACUGGGAAAGGCAAGGAGCCUUUGUACGAGAUCAAAGACACAAAGCCUGUUCAAGAUCGGGGCACGACUGGACAACUCCCAAAGCUUACUCCAAGAGCUAGGGUCCAAAGAAUACCAACCCCUAUCAACCUGGAAAGUGAAUCAGACAGUGAAACUUUAAUGUCUCUCACUUCCCUUGACAGAAUCGAGCUGGCAAAACGAAUGGCCCUACUCAAAAGAUCUGGACCAGGGGCCAAGAAAAGAAAGCCUAAGCAGAUCAAUUCAUUGUCUGCCGACGAGCCACCGCACCAAAGCUUCGAGCAUUCCCAAGAAUACAACUUUGAAGGCUACCAUCAUCUAGAGUACAACCCUGAAGACUUCCCAGCCCUAGAAUACAAUCCCAAGGACUUCCAGCAUUAUUUCGAUAAUGAAACUAACGAUUCAUCGUAUAACUGUUUCCUACUCUCACCCGGGGAUGGAGGCCCGUCAGAAGAGGAAGCAUACAUCUUUAUCCGCUACGAUCCUAAUGAAGUGCUAAGCUCGUCCUCUGACCAUGAGGAUAGCUUCAAUACUUCAUCUUCAUUCGGAAAUUUUGACCAAGAAGAAAGCAAUGGGAUAAUCUCGGUAGAGUCCAACUUCCCUGAAACAGAAAAAUUCACCACUACAACGAAUAUGCAGUGGGAAAAUCAGUGGCCUAACCAAGACAUACUAGGCUCGUCUUGCCCUCAUAGGAUCAUGACCCCCAUAGAAAUGUGGAUACCCAAUCUCCGCAAGUAUAAUGGCACGACUUGCCCCGUGGCCCACUUGCAGUACCUCCAUGCUGAAAUGAGUCAGUACUAUGGCCCGAAGUCAUUCACAACUCAGGCCUUCCAAGAAAGUCUUAUGGGGUCUGCAUUACAAUGGUUCAUCACAGCAGAUAUCUACCUCAUGAGAGAUUAGAAUGAGCUGUCUUAUGCAUUCCUGCUUCAGUAUCAAAGCCAGAUUGGGACUGAAGUGCCUUGUCAGAACUUGGUCCACUUCAAAAGAAGACCAAUGGAGGAUUUAUGAGCGUAUGCAAGGAGGUGGGAGGCUUUUAUGAUGCAAACUUACCCUCAACUGGCCGAAGAAGAAAUGAUAAAGUUGUUCAUAGGGACUUUGCCUCGCAAGCAUCGUUGUUGGUUGCAUGGGUUGCACUUCCAUAGCUUCAAUGAAGUGGUCCUCUCAGGCGAAUACUUCGAGUUUGCUGGAGGCGAGGAACUCAAAGGCACUUGAUUUCAGAACCAACACUAUCAAAGCACUCCUUUACACAGGAGUUUUCAUGGGCUUUACUUGUUUUUAUAAUUUCAUGUUUCUUAUCUUGUCUAGUGUGCUACUGUUGUAUUUUCCAUUCCAAGUACUCUAUUGUACAAUUCUAAUAUUUUGUUUUAAGAGCAUGAGGCGGUACUCCAAACCUGCCCGGUGAUGCUAUCCAACCAUGAAAAAUUAUCAUCCAAGAAGAAUACUAAGGGCUGGGCUUCCUCAUGCUUUCUUCCCCCCAAAGAUAUAUACUUUUGAAAACAAAAAAUGUUUUAUUGCCAAAAGCUUUUGUCAAAACAAGAUUAUUAAAUCAUGUUUGUCUUUCUAACUCACUCACUUUGUAUCUCAAAAUAUCAUCCCCAUCCCCCUUGACUUAGUGUGACAGAGGGCAUUUGAAGCUGGCGCAUCAUGUGAACUCACUGAAUUCAAUGACACUUUUCCAAGAAGACAGUGGGGCAAAUAAAAGAUCAUCCCACUUCAAAGAAGGUAAGUUUUAUUCUCUGAAUAUAAUUGUGGAAAUGAUGUCCUCUCUCUUCUAUUUAUAGGAAACGAAAGAUCAGGCGUAAUAGGUACAUGCAUACGGUUAAAAUCAAGCCGUCCCUAGGAGCUCUGUGCACUCCAUCUCGCUCUUGCCCAGCUCCUUCUCAAGCCGGAGCAGUAUCUUCUUCCCUCAACGUGCCCGAGCAACUAAAAGCUACAGUGAGAUUUCCGCCUUCGACAAGCCAAGAAGCGCAAAAAAUGAAUUUCUUCUCUUCCUUUGAAUUAACCACUGUCAACAGGGAGGAAAUUUAGACAGUUGAGACAGUCUCUAGCCCCUUAUUUCAAACGAUGACUAAGGGCCUAGAAACCUCACUUCGUGCUCCAGACGCAUGCUCUCCCAAGAAGUAAUUGCCAUCAGAGAAUUAGAGGUUUUGAUUGUCCACCUCAGAUUCCGUAGAAGCUUGAAGUACAUGACUUUGCUCAAUGCUACUAAUGGUAAUAUGGUCAAAGACAAAAUUCCACAGAAGGAAGGCGUUGCAAAUCAUCAAUCGUGUACACAGGGCCAUAAAUGAGGAGGGCCAAUCGAAAGAAAUGUUGAACUGUGUCAAAGACGAAGAGGCUGUCAUCAGUACAUCAGUAUACAGAAAUCCUUAGGAAUCAACAAAUACAAACUCUGGGGAAGGGUGACUUUGUAUCGUUUCCAAUACCCCCACCAUCUGAACUCACUUUUGACAUAUUUUCUCCUAUUGACAGGAAGCAUAGGAUUCAAGAAACAAGCUUAAUGGUUAAUUUGGGCAAAUCAAGUAACCCAUAUCGAUUUACCUAGCUCGGUAUGAAAGGACGUGUCGUCCAGGAGCCGGUUCGGUUAAAUGAAAAAAGAAGCGUCCUAUGGACACCGUCGGCACCUCUAGCCAAGUGGUAUCCGGGAAGAAGCAAAAUGGUCCGAAGUCGGGGGUUCGAAUCCCUGACGCGGCAGUUAGCCACUUGGUAAAAAAUUAAUAAAAAAAAAGUUUGCUUCUCUUGCGCUUGCAAAUUACGAGAAAGCAGGUGACCUAACGAAGCAAGGGACAUAGGACUUCGUGUCCCCAUCUCACUUCAGGUUCACCCAAUCGUCUGCAAACCAGUGAAGGGCAAAGUUGUAUCGAUUCCAGUUAUUCGACUCUUGAAAAAGUUCAUGACUAACACAUUCCCUCUUGUUUGUUCAGGAUCGCCUGACUGUCAAAAGCAAAGAUAACAAAUCAAUGAGAGGCAUGACAAACUCUCCCAAGCAAAAUGGCGUCUCAAGUAUUGCCAAAGCAAAUGACAGAGAUCCUUUAGGCCUCAACUCACAUUCGAUUUUGGCCAGACUAAUUGAUCUACUUGUACAUCUUCUCUUCUGCAGGGGCAAAAGCAGAGAUGCCCUAUUAAAUCCCCAACCCCGGCUGAUCCUUCAUGUGUCAUAUCCCUAACCAAUAGGGACAACUAUCGACACCCAUUUGCGAAUAACCCUUUUUGAUGUUCAAAAGUUAACAUAUUUGGAAACACCAUUAUGUUAACUCUUAAAGUUGUCAAUAGGGUCUUUUUCGAGUCAAAACCAUUCACUUGUUUUGAAGAGUUCAAACUCCAUCAUAUUCAAAAUGUUGCAUGUCAUUUCCAGAUGAAUUAUGCAUGAUGAUUUUGUCUAUUUAAGUCACUGAUUCCACUAAGGAUUAUCAUAAUAGACAACUAAGUGAAGAAUGCAAGAUUAAUUGAGCAUGCUGGAUGAGGCAUGUCAGAAUGAUGACAGGCAAGCCAUAUCCUACACACAGUCCCCCAUCUAUACACUUGUGAGUUGAGUGCAGAAGAUUCCAUGGCUGCAGGGUAAAGAGUUCUCUCGCGAAUGGUACNNNNNNNNNNNNNNNNNNNNNNNNNNNNNNNNNNNNNNNNNNNNNNNNNNNNNNNNNNNNNNNNNNNNNNNNNNNNNNNNNNNNNNNNNNNNNNNNNNNNAGAGGCAUUCCAUCGCUCACCCCAAUGAGCCCCAUACAUUGGUGAAACUUCUCUAUACCCCGUCAAGAACAACCCCUUGCACUAGGGCAUAUCAGAGGCGAAGCAGCAUCACAAGGUGAGAAGAGAGAUAGAAAUUUUCUUGCUCGCACUUGCUUCAAUCUUUGGGUGUCUUUAUUGCAUAUGAACACUCGCAUUAAUUUAAGUGCCCUAGAGUCAUGAAGAGCAAUUCUUUCUUUACUCACCUGUAUCUAUUGUAUAACUUAAUUGAGUUUGUAAUUUCACCAUCACAUGGAGGCAAAACAGAAGUUACUGUAAUUUAAGUAGCAUAGUCUAGAGUAGGGGUGUCAAAAAGGCCCAACCCGACCCGACCCGAACACGAAACAUGUAUUAUGCAUGUUUCGUGUUCGGGUCGUGUUUGGGUAACAAAUAUAAAACAAGCAAAACAAAUGUGUUUCGGGUUGGGUCAGGUUCGAACAUUGUUCGACCCGAAACAAGUUUUCUAAAGUCCAAACACGCCAAAACCCAAAAACACAAACGCUUUAGGCUUUAGGCUUUAGCCCCAAACACGAACAGUCGAACACACCUCAAGCAUUGAAGGCUGAAAAACAUACCUCGUCGGCUCCGCCUUCUUCUCCGACGAGUGCGCCUUCUCGUGGAGUCCGAUGCCGCCCUCUAAUCGACGCGCCUCCGCCUCGCCGUUGCCGUCGCCACCCCUCGCCUCCGCCUCACCAAUGCCAAAACCCUUGCCACCGCGUGCGGCCGACCAUCGUCGACAGCUUGGGGACUGGGUUCGCUCGGCGAUCAUGACGCUCGCGUCUCGCCUCGUUUCCAAGUCCCGGCAGGUGAGGAGCCCCCCCUCCAGAUCCACGCGCCUUCCCCCCUCUCGUCGCUCGUCAAAUGCCAUCUCAAAUUUUUGCUCGAUGGCGCUCAACAUUGGCCGUGGAGAUCGGGAAUUUUGCGUUUCGCAAAGUCGCCACUUUCCGCUCGGGCGAUUGUUGAUGAUUGUCUGUUGCUCUUCAUUGCGUGGCGAUUUAAUUCGGCGAUUGUGUUUCUGUGCGCUUGAAUUUUUAGAUUCUUGUAUUAAGGAAAUUGCUUGUCUGAUGCAUUUAUUUGUCUAUGAAAUUCUUUGGGUUCAGGUUAAAAGUUAAGCUGAAGCAGCUAGCUGAGCAGUAUGUGCUUUCUGAACAACAUCAUGAACAGGAGGUAAAGUUCUUUAAAAUUGAUUCAUGGGUCUUUCUUGUUCGAGCANNNNNNNNNNNNNNNNNNNNNNNNNNNNNNNNNNNNNNNNNNNNNNNNNNNNNNNNNNNNNNNNNNNNNNNNNNNNNNNNNNNNNNNNNNNNNNNNNNNNUACGUAGCAGUGUUUCAGUAUCUCAUAUCACCCUCGAUUCUGGGGCCGGAACAGUUUUGCUGUGAGAUUCUCAAUUAUGGAUUGACAAGUUCUGGAGAAUAGAGUAACGUAUAUUUGUUUUCCUGUGGAUCUUUUGGUCUCUUCAUAUGUGUGGAAGCAGCUUUGCUUGAUAUGUGCACUCAUUGUGGGAGGAUGGUGGCUGCUGGAAAAAUGUUCAAACGAUGGCCUUUUGAGUGGGAUAGCUCUAUUAUUUGUACUUCUAUGAUAUGUGGGUAUGCACGUAAUGGGCUGCCGGAUGAGGCAAUAUCACUAUUUUGCCAUUGUAAAGUAGAAGGGAGCAUAAUUCUUGCUGAAAUUGCAUCAAUUUCAAUACUUGGUGUUUGUGGAACUUUAGGGUCUGAUAGGAUGGGUGAGCAAAUUCACUGCCAUGUUCUUAAAUUUGGAUUAUUUUCAGAUUUAGAGGUAGCAAAUGCAUUGAUCGGUAUGUACUCAAAGUGUUGGAAUAUGGAUGCUGCUAAAAAAGUCUUUAACAUUAUUGGAAGCUUUGGACAUAAAAGGUUAUCUUUUCACUUGAAGAUCCCAUGUGGCCAAGAACGAGUCUUUGGUCUUUAGGGUGGAUUUGGCCACUACAGUGAGGUUCAAGAUCAUGGUUUGGAAGACCAAGAGGUAUAAGGUAAUAGUGGUGGGUGCUAAUGUGACUCUCAAUGAUCAGGCUGCUAAGAACACCGGCAAGAAGGACAAGGAUGUCAAACUAAAGUCUGGGGUGGGUAAGAAUUUAGGGGGUUGUUGCUUUUGGCAGGUGGGGACUUUUGUUGUUGCUUUAGCUUUGAUUUUGCUUGACUAAGGGCUGAGUUGGACUCUUCCUUGUGUGAGGAAGGUUGAGAAUGAGAUUAAUUUUAUGGUAUUCCUGGAUAGUGGGCAGUGCUGAUUAUUGUUUGCAUUAGAAAUGAGUGCUGGUUAGCAUUUGGAUUAGAAAUGAUAUAUUUAAUGGAAGAGGGAAAAAAAUCAUUGUUUUGGGAUGGUUUCGUUGAAUGAAGAUUUGAAUGAAUCAUGGUGUUUGGUUCUUAUGAUAUGUAGUCCUUAUCCUUCAUUACAUUGAGUUCUUCGGGGUUGUUCAGAUUCCUGGUCUUUGCAAACAGAGUGAAUUUUGUUUGCCUUCUUAAAAACUGGUAUAGUCCUACUAUGAAGCUCAUCUUUUAGAAGAACAAGAUGUGAUCAAAGAUAUCAUUCUGUCUGUGUUCUACUUUUAGCGAUAGUGGGAGCUGCUGCUCUGUAAUUUGAUCAGAGAGUAGUAGGCAGUAGGCACCGCCACAAAGAGGAACCUCUAUCUGUUGCUAUAUUAGCCAAAAGGAACAUUUGCUACUGUCAAUGAUACAAAGUCAUAAAAUCUUCCUAGUUGAAUAAUAGCUUGUUGCCUAUCAGGUUUUUAAUCAUCCUAGCAAAUUCUGAAGAAAGGAGAAGAUUGCAUAUUUUACUCUAGAAAGUAAAACCCUUUUCAGCAUAUUUACCGAGCUCACCAUACCUUAUGAAUUCGUGGGCAUUGGCAAGAAGUGCAGCUUUUCUUAUUUCCGAUUCUCUAGCAUCUUCUUUUCCAAUUGUAUGAAUGUAUUUCUUAAACAUUUACUUCUAUCCAACCCCAUUUUAACUUCUUUCUUUUCCCCACAUGCAUAUGCUUGUGCUCAUUUGUAGAAGAUACAUUCAUUUGAGGCCCGCCAAAAGAAAAAAGAGACAAAAAUCAAUCCAAUGCUAAAAAAUAAAGAGCCAAGCCGAGGCUUGCAAUGUUUCGUAAUAACGUAUAACAGUUGCGAUAAGUCACGAACAACAAUGAAGAUGAAUGCCCCCAUUCGACUUUCACCCGAGAAAAAAAAAAAAAGUGACAACCCGGAAACCCGACCCGACCCGACCUGAAUUUCCUAUGCCAGUUUAAUGUGUUUCGGGUCAGGUCGGGUCGGGUCAUAGUAUGUGACCCGUAUGUUUCGGGUCGGGUCGGGUAACAUCAAGACCCGACCCAACCUGACCCGUUUACACCCCUAGUCUAGAGCGCUAGCUGAAGAUGAAGACUCAAGAGUCUAACAACAGUGUCAUGAUUGAACUUGCCUAGGCUAGUUUCUCUAACGACAAGAAUGAAAAAACAGGGGCAUAAAAAAGCAGUGUACCUGGUAAAAGUAAGGUCAAUGCCCAUAAAUGAAGAACUAGAAUAAAAAUAGGGGCAUGAAAAAGCAGUGUGCCUAGUAAAAGCAAGGUCAAUGCCCCCCAGUCAAAAAUACAGCCAAGAAAAUGUUGUUGUUGUGGUCCACAGAACCUCCAUUUGACAGUGAGAAGAAAGACUGGUGACAAAUGCCAAGGCAAUCACCAGCUUUCAUCCUUUUACACAUAAAUCAAGCCUACGUUACAAUCCCAUUGUAAAAGUCUCUUCAGACUAGGGCACUUCAAUUAAUGUAGGAUUUCAUGUGUACGUAAGCAUCGCUCGAAGAAAUACGAGCAAGAUUACUCUAUCUCUUUUCGCAGGACUCUUGACUUGCAAACCCAGAGAUGAUCGUGCAGUACUUCGUUCAUGAGCCUUGACCUUGACGGUCUCAUUUGAUGAGCUAUUGACCAAGUCUUCAUCAUAAUUUCAACAAAGACCUCUCACAUUGGUAAAGUCGUACCACUUGCGAGAAUACUCAGACCCCUGCUGACAUGAUAACAGUGAGAAGUGUGGUCCUUAUAAAUCCUGCAUCAAUGGUCAGGAUAGCCUUUUCCAUGAGAAAGAGUGGAAAGUCCUUUCAGAUUGAAAGUCCCUCAUCUGGCAUGCUCAAGACAUCUACAUUUGGAAUGAAGGUUGUCUUUCAAAUUUUCCCCAGUGGAAUUCGGAUGAUGCCAAAACUAACAAAAUUGUCAUGCAUGAAUCCCAUUUAAACUCAUGAAUUUACUGCAUAUACAAUCAUGUGUGCAUAUUGUGCAAAUAGCAGACAUACACUCAGAGAUAAGAGAUAUUGCCAGGUAAGCAUAUCCAUGUCCCCAUUUGUCUUAAAGUACCUAUCACUGUCCAGGUACUCUCUUCUUGACACUCGACCUAUUCGAGUCAUCCCUUGAGUUUGGGUUCUUGCAAUUGUCUUAGUAUCCCAUUGUCUUUGAGUACCCACCACUUGCCGGGUACUCCCUCUUAACGACACUCAACCUGUCCGAGUUGUCCUCAGAGUAUUGAUACUUGCGACUGUCCAGGUAUCCCUUUAUUUUUAGGUACCUCCCACUAUCUAGGUACCCUCCUAUCAACACUCGACCUGUUCAAGUCAUCUUCGGAAUUUAGAUGCUUGAGACAAACCAAGUAUCCCAUCAUCCAUGAGUGUUCAUCACUGUCUAGGUACCCUCUUAUCGACACUUGACCUAUUCGAGUUGUCCCUCAGAGUAUUGAUACUUGUGACUAACCAAGUAUCCCUUUUAUCAUUGAAUACCUACUGCUAUUUAGGUAUCCCUAUUGUCUUUGAGUAUCAGCCACCGUUCGGAUACUCCCUUUCCCUGACACUCAACUUGUUCGAGUUGUCCCCAGAGUAUUGAUACUUGUGACUGACCAAGUAUCCAUUUAUCUUUGAAUACCUAAUGCUGUCUAGGUAUCUCCAUAUCAUCAAGUACCCACCGCCGUUCAGGUACUCCCUUUUCAUGACACUCAACUCUCUUGAGUUGUCCCCAAAUAAUAGUAUCUGUUCAAGCAUUCCACUGCUUUAUGUGCCUGUGCCUGCCCAAGUAUGUUUUCUUACACUUGGACCAGCCUGAGUGGUCCCAGAUCGUAUCAUCAAAUACUUGUGUUCAUCCAAGUAUUCCAGUACUUUGUACACCUGCGGCUACCCAGGUGUUCCAACCCUUUUGAGUGCCUACGGCCUGGAUGUGUCAUCCAGGAGCCAAUUCAGAGAAUAAUUGACUUAACAAAGCAAGGGACAUAGGACUUCGUGUCCCCAUCUCACUUCAGGUUCACCCAAUCAUCUGCAAACCAGUGAAGGGUAAAGUUGUAUUGCUUCCAGUUAAUUGACUCUUGAAAGAGUUCAUGACUAACACAUUCCCUCUUGUUUGUUGCAGGAUCACCUGACUGUCAAAAGCAAGGAUAACAAAUCAAUGAGAGGCAUGACAAACUCUCCCAAGAAAAAUGGCGUCUCAAGUAUUGCCAAAACAAAUGACAGAGAUCCUUCAGGCCUCAAUUCACCUUUAAUUUUGGCCCUGUUGAUUGAUCCAUUUUCAACUUCUCCUCUGCAAAAGGCAAGAGUAGAAAUUCCUGAUCAGAUCCCCAAUCCCUGGCUGAUCAUUCAUAUGUCAUGUCCCUAACCAAUAGGAGCAAUCUAUCGACACUCAUUUGUGAAUAACCCUUUGUAAAUAACUCUUUUGAUAUUCAAAUUUCAACACAUUUGUGAAUACCAUUUCACCAAGCAAACACCCUUAAAGCUGUUAAUAAGUUUUUCUUGAGUAAAAACCAUUCAUUUAUUUUGAAAGUACAAACUCUUUCGCAUCAUAUGCUGCAUGCCUUUUUCCAGGUGAUUUUUGCAUGAUGAUUUUGUCUGUCUAGAUCAUUGAUUUUGCUGAGGAUUAUUAGAAUAGACAGUUAAGUAGAGAAUACAAGAUUAAUUGAGUAUGCUGGAUGAGGCGCGUCAGAAUGAUGACAGGCAAGCUAUAUCCUACACACAGUCCCCCCAUCUAUACACUUGUGAGAUGAGUGCAGAAAAUUCCAUGACUGCAGGGUAAAGGGUUCUCUCGCGAAUGGUGCGAUAACCAAAAUAGUGAGAGGCAUUCUAUCGCUCACCCCAUUGAGCCCCAUACACUGGUGAAAUUUCUGUCCUACCCCUGUCAAGAACCACCCCACACUGGGACAGAUCACAGACGAAGCAGCAUCACAAGGUGAGAAGGGAGAUAGAAAUUUUCUUGCUUGCACUUGCAUCAAUCUUUAAGUGUCUUUAUUGCAUAUGAACGCUCACGUUAAUUUAAGUGCCCUGGAAUGACGAAGAGCAAUUAUUUCUCUAUGCACUUGUAUUCAUUGUACAACCCAAGUGAGUCUAUAAUUUUACCCUUACAUCAAGACAAAGCAAAAGUUAUUGCCAUAGCCUGAGCGCUAGCUGAAGAUGAAGACUCAAGAGUCUAACAAUAGUGUCAUGAUUGAACUUCCCUAGGCUAGUUCCUCUAACGACAAGAAUGAAAAACAGGGGUAUAAAAAAAAAAAAGCAGUGUACCUGGUAAAAGCAAGGUCAAUGCCCAUAAAUGAAAAACUGGAAUAAAAAUAUUGGCAUGAAAAAAAAAGUGUGCCUGGUAAAAGCAAGGCCAAUGUCCCCCAGUCAAAAAUACUGCUAAGAAAAAGUUGUUGUUGUGGUCCAUAGAACCUCCAUCUGACAAGAAAGACUAGUGACAAAUGCCAAGACAGUCACCAACUCUCACCCUCUUACAUGUGAGCCAAGUCUAUGUUACAUCCCCAUUGUAAAAGUCUCUUCAGACUAGGGGCACUUCAAUUAACGUAGGAUUUCAUAUGUGUAUAAGUAUCGCUCGAAGAAGUACGAGCAAGAUUACUCUAUCUCUUUUCGCAGGGUUCUUGACUUGUAAACUCGGAGAUGAUCGUGCAACAUUUUCGUCCAUCGGCUUUGGCCUUGACGGUCCCAUUUGAUGAACCGAUGACCAAGACUUCAUCAUAGUUUCAACAAAGAUCUCUCACAUUGGUAAAGUCGUACCGUUUGCGAGAAUACUUGGACCCCUGCUGACAUGAUGACAGUGAGAUAGUGUGGUCCUUAUAAAUCCUGCAUCAAUGGUUAGGAUAGCAUUUUCCAUGAGAGCGAGUGAAAAGUCCUUUCAGACUGAAAGUCCCUCAUCUGGCAUGCUCAAGACAUCUACAUUCUAAAUGAAGGUUGUCUUUCAAAAUCUUCCCCAGUGGAAUUCGGAUGAUGCAAAACUAACAAAAUUAUCACGCAUGAAUCUCAUUUGAACUCAUGAAUUUACAACACAUACAAUCAUGUAUGCAUACCGUGCAAAUAGCAGACAUACUCUCAAAGAUAAGAGAUAUUGCCAGGUAAGCAUAUCCCUAUCCACAUUUGUCUUAAGGUACCUACCACUGUCUAGGUACUCUCUUCUUGACACUCGACAUAUUCGAGUUGUCCCUUGAGGUACGAUGCUUGCAACUGUCUUAGCAUCCCAUUGUCUUUGAGUACCGGCCACCGUCCGGAUACUCCUUUUUCCUGACACUCGACCUAUUCGAGUUGUCCCCUGAGUAUUGAUACUUGUGACUUACCAAGUAUCCCCUUAUCGUUGAAUACCUACUGCUGUCUAGGUAUCCCUAUUGUCUUUGAGUACCGGUCACUGUUCGGAUACUCCCUUUCCCUGACACUCGACCUGUUCGAGUUGUCCCCAGAGUAUUGAUACUUGUGACUGACCAAGUAUCCAUUUAUCUUUGAAUACCUAAUGCUGUCUAGGUAUCUCCAUAUCAUCAAGUACCCACCGCCGUUCAAGUACUCCCUUUUCAUGACACUCAACUUGCCCGAGUUGUCCCCAAAUUAUAGCAAAUGUUCAAGCAUUCCAUUGCUUUGCUUGGCACCGCCGUCCAAGUAUGCUUUCUAGCACUUGGACCAGCCUGAGUGGUCCCAGAUCAUAUCAUUAAAUACUUGUGUACAUCCAAGUAUUCCAGUACCUUGUACACCUGCGGUUACCCAUGUGUUCCAACCCUUUUGAGUGCCUGCGGCCAUCUAGGUAAGCCUUGUGCUACACUCAAGUUUAUGUUGCCAGGAGAUGGGAGACCUUCACGAAUAUGCGAGGCACGCCCUCGAUAUUCCCAAUUACCAGGAGGUGAGAGACCUUCAUGAAUAUCCAAGGUACGUCCUCGAUAUUCCAACUACCAGCAGGUGAGAGACCUUCACGUAUAUGCAAGACCCAUCCUCGAUAUUUCCACACGAAUAUCUCAAGUACGUCAUCGAUAUUCCAUGUACCAAGAGUUUGUACCUGUGAUCGUCCAGGUACCCCUUCGAUACUUGUGAUCAUCCAGGUAUCCCCCAAGAGUUUGUACUUGUGAUCAUCCAAGUACCUCUUCGAUACUUGUGAUCAUCCAGGUAUCCCCCAAGAGUUUGUACCUGUGAUCGUCCAGGUACCCCUUCGAUACUUGUGAUCGGCCAGGUAUCCCCCAAGAGUUUGUACCUGUGAUCGUCUAGGUACCCCUUCGAUACUUGCAAACGUCCAAGUAUCCUCUAAGAGUUCGCACUUGUGAUCAUCCAAGUACCCGUCCAUUGCCUAUGAUUAGCCAAAUGCCCCUUUUUGAUGCCGGCAAAGGCCCAAAUAUCCUUCAGGUUAGUACUUGUGAAUAUCCAGGUACUCAUUGAUAUGCCUGUGAAUGUCCAGGUAUCUUCCAGAAUCGAUGCCUUGAGAAAGGUCGGCGCAUCCUCCCGAGAAAGGUCGGGUUCCAACUGGUGUCUUCAACAGAAGUCAGACACUUAACAAAUCGAUGCCCUGAGAAAGGUUGGCCUAUCCUCCCGAGAAAGGUCGGGUUCCAACUGGUGUCUUCGACAGAAGUCAGACACCCUACAAAUCGAUGCCCUGAGAAAGGUCGGCACAUCUCCCGAUAAAGGUCGGGUACCAACUGGUAUCUUCGACAGAAGUCAAACACCCCACAAAUCGAUGCCCUGAGAAAGGUCGGCGCAUCCUCCCGAGAAAGGUCGGGUUCCAACUAGUGUCUUCGACAGAAGUUAGACACCCCACAAAUCGAUGCCCUGAGAAAGGUUGGCGCAUCUCCCGAGAAAGGUCGAGUACCAACUGGUGCCUUCGAUAGAAGUCAGACCCCCAACAAAUAGAUGCCCUGAGAAAGGUCGACGCAUUUCCCGUCAAGGCGAUCGAAGAAAGGUUCGGGUCCUAGACAAACAACUUAUUGCUCUAACAAGCAACCGAAGAAAGGUUCGGGUCCUAGACAAACCAACUUAUUGCUCUAACAAGCGACCGAAGAAAAGUUCAGGUCCUGGAAAAGCAAUCUCCUCAUGCAGCAGGUAAAAUGACGCCUUGAUACUUGCCAAAGCUCGGGGUUCACACCCUAUCUCACUCAGGUAAGUAACUACAGGUAUCUUCUUAUUUGUCUUAGUAUGUGUAAUGUUAUAUUGCUCAUUUUCUGCAAAGGACACUAGGUCUUAAAUAAGAUAUAAUCUACUGCAUAUGAACAGACAAAAUUUAGGUAUAAGUUUGUCUUUGAAUGCAACCUCUGCGAACUCACCUUCAAAGAGGGGCAGCUAUUGAUACAUAAAUUUUGAUUGGGUUUUUAAAUUAGGCCUUAGUCUCUUUUAAUUUUUGUUUUUCCUUCGGAUAAUAAUAAAUAAUAAAAACAACAAAAAAAUAGUAAAAAUAAAAGAAAGCAAAAGCCCAGCCCCUCCACUCUUUUUCUCUCUCUUGCGCGGGCCCAGGGCCCAGCCCUUGUUUUCUUGAGUUUUGGCCCCCCCCCCUCUCUUCUUCUUCCUCCUGUCUUCUUCCUCCUCGGUCACCUGCAUCUCACGCGCGGUGGCCAGCGACGUGCGCGAAGGACGGCCUACAGCCGAGGGGAGUAGGCCGACGUCAGCCGGAGAGGAUAAGAUCUCAAGCGCCAUCAAUGCCGAGAACGCUUCGUUGGACAGGUGGCGGAUGGGACACCGGUUCGGCCACGGGGGUCCGGUCGACAAGCAAAAAGACCGGCGGCCGAGCCUCUCCGUCGACGGGACCUCCUCGCCUAUAAAUAGCGGAGCAUUUCCGUCGUCGAGGGAGACACGAGCGAGCUCCGAGAUCUUCCCACUGAGAGACUUCAGGGGAGGAAUCAAAGAGCAAGCGAGAGAGAACUCGGGUCGCAAGCUCGACUGACCUCCCACUGAGAGACUUCGGGGGAGGCCGCCGGCGAGCGAGUCCGAGGAGGUUAGAUCCGGCCGGUGGAGGCUCGGAUCUGGCCGGAGUGAGAGAGAACCAAGGCUGAGGGGGCUGCUGGAGAGAAGAGGAGUCGGAGAAAGCCGUUGUGAGCCGAGCACCAGUUGCGAAUCGCGAGAUCCCGACGCCAGUUGCUGUUGCUGUCUCCCCCACGAGCCGCUUCUCCUCCGAAGCUCGAAGAACCAGUGCAAAAUCGAAGUUUCCCCGGUCGUGCUAGUCUGUCGUCGACGCCGCAACACCGCCCCGAUGCCGUCCAGGUUUAAGGGCCGCCGCCAUCGCCACAAGCCGUGCCGCCGUGCCGUGCCAAAGCCGAGAGCAGGUGACGAUGGAGCCCUGCCUACGCCGUCCAUCCAAAGCUCUAAUGGCCGUCGCAUUUGCCAUUCACUGUCGUCGCCGUAGCCACCGUAGCCGCCGUCACCGCCGUCGCCGCCGUCGCCGUCGUAAUACUCUCGUUUCCCCCCCUUCGGCGCCGCGGAUUCGCAAACCCUAGGGUUUGCGAUUUCCGGGUGACGAAGCGGAUCCGGGUUUGGAAAACGGGUAGGGAUUCCGUGAUUUAAGCGGCGACGGAAGCCGGGUCGGGGUUCGGGUCGGAUCCGGGUAGGGUUUUCGCCAGGAAGCCGGGUCGUAAAGCCGGGUCGUCGGGCCGGGCCGGGUGUCCCCGAACGCCCGGCCACGACGCCAUUUCAAAUAUAAAAAAAGAGGAAAAAAACUUAGUCAGGCCUGCGUCGCGGGCCCGUCCGCGUUUUGGGUCGUCGACCCCGGUCGGACACAACCCGUGGAUCCGACCCGGGUCGGUUUUUAUUUUAAAUAAUAUUUUAAAUAAACAAAUAAUAAAUAAAUAAUUUAUUUUCCAAAAAAACAAAAAUAUCCAAAAAAUAUUUUAUUUUCCAAAAAUAUUAAAAAAUGUUUUAAUUUCCAAAAAAUUGAAAAAUAGUAAAAAAAAAAGGAUAAAAAUAUUUAAUUUUCGAAAAAUAAAACAAUCAAAAAUAUUUCAUAUUUUCCAAAAAAAUGACAAAAAUCCAAAAAAAAACCAAAAAUUCAUGAAAAAGCCAAAAAGACUUGUAUUUUUCCAAAAAUACCAAAAAAAUCCCAAAAAAUCCCUUUUGUGUCCAAAAAAUUAGAAAUAGACUCAAAAAAUGUUUUUCCUCCCAAAAAUGCAUGGAAAAUCCCUCAAAAAUCCAAAAAAGCCUUAGGGUUUAAACAAGAUUAGGUACCGAAAGGGCAUUAGUGAUUAACUAGUGUAAUCAAGUCCCCGAUCCUAAUUUCUCUGGUUACGCAGGAGUGAGUAUUUCUCGCGAUACUUCACUUGGGUUUCUAAUCAACCCACCCCAAAUCGAUUAGUGGCGACUCCAUUUUAAAAAUUGAUUUACAGGUUAAAAACUCAGACUAUUAAAGUCAUGAAUUGGUGGACUUGGGAGAGUUCGGGCAUAACUAAUUUCAGCCGAACAAUUAGCCUCCUUAGGCGCUCGUACCCGAUUGCGGGCGCCGAAAAAAAAGAGGUCGCGACAACUGCAUUUCUACCAAAGAUUUUAUAUUGACUCGUUUGAGCUAUGGACUGGACAUGAACCUAACUUGAACCAUCUUAAGGUUUGGAGUGUCAUGCAAAAAUUAUGUUAUAGAAUCCAACAUUGAGUAAGUUGAAUUGUAGAAACACUCAAAGUUAUUUCGUAUCUUACCCAAGUCAUUUGAAGGGAUAUCGGUUUUAUAAUCCCAAUGGAGGUACAAAAAUUAUGGGAUCACAAAUAGCGAAGUUUCUAGAAUUCAACGUAGCUGCAGAUGAUAGCUGCUUUUAGACUAUUAAAGAUAAUAGUACGGUGGAGACCACUGUGUAUUUGUCUUUACCUAUACAAAUAAUUAUGGAGUCUUCUACACGACAGACUAAGCUUGUGAGGUUCAGGAUACUAUUAUUGAUACAAUUCCUAAUGAAGUUUGUCAAGCCUCUCAUGUGCAAAAUGAAAUUAUUGCAAUAGCUCCACUUAAAAGAUCUAUUAGUGAAAAGUGUUCAGUUAUACCACUGGACUAUAUAAUAUUUAUGUGAGAACAUGACUAUAAUAUACGUUGCAUGGUUGAUCUAGUGACUUACAUAUAAAUGUUGUUUCUUAUCCUCAAUCAAAUCUGUGAUUAGAUGCGAUGAAAGACGAGAUACAAUCUAUAAAACAUGAUAGUACUUGGUAGCCUAUUGAAUUGGUUGAAGGUCACAAGCCCAUCUAUUGUAAAUGGGUUUUAUGAGACUAAAAAUAAAUUUUAAAAGAAAUAUUGAGAAGCUUAAAUUCAAGCUAGUAGAGAAAGGUUUCACUUAGAGAAAAUGAGUAGAUUAUGAACGAAUUUUUCUCAGCCUUUUCCAAAAACUAUUUCAGAGUGAAUAUGGUAUUAACAUAAAGUUACAUUAGAUGAAUGUUAAAACUCUAUUUCUCAAUAGAUACAUUGAUAAAGAAGUCUAUAUUGUAUAACUCAAAAGUUUUACGAAAGAUGAUUUAGGUAAGUUUGUGUGUAAACUGAAAAGCCUUAUACAUGGUAUUAUGUAAGUUUGUCGAUAAUGAUACUUGAACUUUUAUAGCAUUGUCACUUCAUUCAAUUUUGUUGAAAAUAAAGUAAAUCGAUGUAUAUACUAUAAGGUUAGUGGGAGAAAAUUUAGUUUUCUCACAUUUUAUAUAAACAAUAUCUUGCUUGUGAGUAAUGACAUUGGAUUACUACAUAAGACCAAGCAGAUGUUGUUAAGGAAUUUUAACUUGAAAAACCUUAGUGAGCUUUCUUUUGUCCUUAGUAUUGAGAUUCACAAGAAUUUUUCUUUCCGUGUGUUAGAUUUAUCUCAUAUUGCAUAUGUUGAUCGUAUUUUAGAAAGACUCAAUAUACAACAUUAUGAACUAGAAAUUACUGGUAAUAAAGUGAGUCAUUGCAGUAUCCUCAUUCAGAUUUUAGGAAAACCCAAAUGAAGCAUACAUCUUAUGCUAGUGCACUUAGAAGUAUCAUGUAUGCUCAAGUUUACACUAGGCUAGAUAUUGUUUUUGCGACAAAACUUCUAGGCAUAUAUCAAUCAAGUCCAUGACAUUAUCAUUGAAUUACUGCCAAUAAGGUUUUGAGAUACUGUUGACACCUAAUAUUUUAGAAAGUAAUAAAUAAAAUAAAACAUUUGGUUUUGAAAAUCUUUUUUGUUGAAAAUAUAUCCUCAUUUCAAAAUUAAAAAAAAAAAUAAUUGUUGUGUGAUUUUGGAGCCAUUUUUUUUGUUAAGAGGUUGAGUGAAUAUCUUACUUGCAAAAACAACUUUGAGUUUUCCUCUAUAAAUAAAGGAUGCAAGGCUUCAAAACUCGGGGGUGGGGUCGAGGAAGAGAAAAUAGAAAAGGAGAAAAGGAGAGCUUCGUUUCUUUAGAGAGGAAAAGAGAAAAAAAAAAAAGUAAAAAAAAGAUGCAGAAAGUGCAGAGAGAGACAGAAGGAGGAGACAUGAAAAUGACGUGAGAGAGAGAGAGAGAGGUCAGAGCAGAAAAAAAAUGAUGAACAACUGUUCAUCUUCCUCGUGAGUUCCCGUUCGGCAUCCCUGCUGCCCACUUCAUCCGCGCCGCCGAGCUGCCGCUGCCGCUCCUGCGCCCCACACCGUUGCCGUUCCACCGGUCAUCCGAAGUUCUGCCUUGCUAGUGUUGAUCCACGAAGACGUUGUUUCCUCUGCCCUGUCCGCGAUCUACUAGUCACCACCGGUCCGAGAUCUGCCAUUCUGCCGUGCCUCUGCCUCGACGUGCCCUUGACGUUGUUGUCCACGCCCCACUGGUUGCCACCCAUGCAACUGAGUCGUCGCUCCGCUCGCUCGAUUGUCUGCGUGUUCACCGUUGCUAUUGCUACCUCCGUCUUCGAUGCCAAUAGUCGCAACCCAGCCUCUUUCGCUUGCUGCUGUGUUCGCAGUGCUCCACCUGCAGCCUAUUCGCCGUCGCAGCUCCCCUCUGUCGAACCACCACCAUGCUUCCGGGAGCUCUCCCCUGGUGCUCUGCCUCAACCUGAAUCAGUCCCAGUAGUCCGAUGCCCCUACACCCGACAUUGCUGCUCCUCUGCUCACUACCGCACGCCCGAACAGAGCCACUUGUUGCCUCCCCUGUUUUGCUGCAGGUCCGGUUACUGCCCAAACCUCACCGGAGCUCCGACAGACAGCCCCUGUUCCGAACGACGACCCAUCACCGAACCACCAUUGCAGCUCGGCCACCAUUGCUUCCUCGCCAUUCCUCAAGUCAACCGUGAGUUAGACUAGGUAAAUUUUUAGAUAUUCGGUUUCAUAGUUUUAUUUUAUUUUUAUUUUAUUCUAACUUGAUUUGUUUUAAUUUAUUCUAACUUGAUUUGUUUUAAUUUAUUCUAACUUGAUUUGUUUUAAUUUAUUCUAACUUGAUUUGUUUUAAUUUAUUUUUAUCAUUAUCCGAUUAGGAAAUUUUUCAUAUUAAGUCAUAAUAAUAAAAAAUAUUGAGCCGCGAGACGUCAGAUUAGAUUUUUGAUUAUUUCGACUUUUCAUGGCAAAUUCAUGAAUUGCUUUGCAUCAUUGAGAUAAUAUGUCAUUGAUUUACAUUGAUAAAUUUUCAAUAGGACAUAUAUUUUGAUGUGUUAUGUUAUUUGCUCUCACAUAUCAUGCAUCAUAUGUCAUAUCUAGGAUUUAGGUAUUUAGGUCCAUAAACAUUUCAUGUUUAAAUCAACGCAUUUUAAUUUUUAAAAUUCAUAUAAAAUUAGGAUAAUUUUCCUUUAAUAAAACCAAAACAAAAAAGAACAAAAAAAAUGUUAUUUAGGUUAUAUAGAUUUCAUAAUGUGCACACCACAUUUUGCGCUUUAAUUAGUGGGUCAUAGGUUAAUGUUUUAAUGUUCCCGUUGUAUAGUUUUUAAUAUAAAAAAAAAAAAGCCAAAGAUUAGUAUUGCAUCAUUAUGUUGUUUUUCUUAAUAAGAAUUAUUAAGUCAUUUAAAAAAAAGAAAACACAAAGGUUAUUUAUUUGGUUAGUUAAUAGGUUAGUUCAUAAUUAAUCCCAUUCUAUGUCAUCAUUGUUAGUGUAGGUUGCAUAUGUGUAAUAAAAAAUCAUUAAAAAAAUCAUAAAAAGAACAUGCAUAUAGAAUUACCACGUCAUACAUCCCAUAUCAUGUAGCACAUGCAUAUUUAGGAUUAUGUAAAUUAGAUUGCACACAUAUUGUACUGAUUCGGAUCAUGUCAUAUAAAUUGCAUCUCACAUGUCAUUAAAGUAAAACUCAUGCAUAUCAAAUUUAAAUUAAGAUUGCAUGUAAUUAACAUUUUUUUUAAAGAAAAAUAAAAAAUAGGUGUCAUUUCAUUUAGAAAUCAUGUUUAGGGCAUGCAUUUUUAUUAGCAUUGCUGUAAGUUUUUUUUUAGAGAGUGGACCUUAAUGAAGUUGGAGUUUAUAAUUUCUUACAAUAUAUCACUUCGGUUGAUUGAAUGUUAUUUUAUUGAUUGUGCACCCGUAUGACCACCAUUUACAUGUUAAUAGCUUAGAUUAAAAUUAAUUAAGACUACGUGCAAAAUAUUUUUGAAAUUAAAAUGAAAAGGUGCCGAAAGGGCGUUAGAUUAAUCUAGUGUAACCAUGUCCCCAGACUUAUUGAAUCUCCAGUUCGCAAAAGUAAGGUAUUCUCCCAUACUUUACUUGGAUUUCUAAUCAACCCUAAUUGGUUAGUGGCAGCUCCAAAUUGAGUAUAAUUGCAUGUUUAAGGGGUUAAUUUCUUAGUAUCAAGUCGCGAUUGGUAAGACUUGGGAGAGUUCGUGCCAAGUCUUUAGACUUAGUAAUCCAUUAGCCUUCUUUGAGUAAUUCACCCUCGGGAAGGUCGCGACAGAUACUGAAAAUGACAAGAAAACUAUAUGCUAAUAAACAUGUUUAGGAUCUAGAGCUAGUAAGAUAUUGCAAUGUAGAUUUUAUGUAAGGAUGACAAGAAGUCGACAACAAAAAUAUAUCUUUAUAUCAGCAGAAGGUGUAGUAUUAUGACAAAGUAAUAAAUAUGAAUCUAUGUUAUCCUCUACCAUAUAAACGAAAUAUGUAGGAUGCUUUGAGUAAUUCACCCUCAGAAAGGUCGCGAUAGAUACUGAAAAUGACAAGAAAACUAUAUGUUGAUAAACAUGUUUAUGAUCUAGAGCUAAUAAGAUAUUGAAAUGUAGAUUUUAUGUAAGGAUGACAAAAAGUUGACAACAAAAAUAUAUCUUUAUAUCAGCAAAAGGUGUAGUAUUAUGACAAAGCAAUAAAUAGAAAUAUAUGUUAUCCUCUACCAUAUAAACGAAAUUUGUAGGAUGCUUUUUAGUUGUUACUCAGGAUAUUUAACUUCGGAACCUCAUUAAGGAGUUGACCAUUUUUGAUUUUAUGAAUAGACUCAUACGGUUAUAUCGAGACAAUAACUCUUUGGUGUUGUUUAUCAAUAACAAUAAAGGUCUUGAGGGGUCUAGAUAUGUGGUAAUCAUAUUUUUUUACUAUAAAGAAACGAUACAGAAUGAUGACACUACAAUUUAGCAUAUUUUCACAUAUGAUGUGGUUAUAGACCCACUAAUUAAGGACUUUCGCCCUUGUGUACUUGAAUGACACAUUAUGAACAUGGGCUGAGAAGUCUCAUUGGAUGUUGCUAUUUAGUGGGAGUUGUCUUGAUUUCGCUCUAAUAAAGCUUAUAUAUAUUACACAUUCAAUAAAGUGUUCAUGAAUGUGUGGUCACCAUAUUAAGUUGAUUAUAUGUAAUGGAAAUCUAAAGGUAUUAUGUAAGCAUUGAGUGAAGGCUUGGGGCAUCUGGUUAUCAGCCUUGAGCAUAUGUCUUGAUUACACAUAAAUAAAGGUUAAUCAUAAAGAUAAGAUAUAUGUGAGUUCAUUAAAACCAUAAAGAUAUUCUUUAGUGGCACAUCCGAUUUUUUGUGACACUUAAGGUAAGAGAAUAGUGACCGACAAAGGAGAUGACACAUAAGGUAUUAUUCUUUAUGAGAUGUUAUUCGUUUGCCAUACAACCAUAUUGAAUCCAUAUCAAUAAAGUUAAAAGCACUCGUGAUCAUAGAAAGCUCUGUGUGAAUACAUGCAAUUACCACUAUGAUUCGGUGUAUGAGACAUUAUGAGAUAGGAUUGACUAUUAAGAAUUAUCACUAAAACAACAUAAAAGUGCGCACAUACAAUACAAUCUCAAGUAAUAUAGCCCAAGUGAGGGUAUGUAAGAGCUUUCUUAAUAUGGGCUUCAUUAGUUGAGAUUAUAAUUUACCGUUUUACAAAGUUGGUCUAAUAAGGUAAGGCAUAAGGUUUCUUAAUAGUCGAAUAUGGGUCUAGCUUGUGUGAGCCAAAUUGAGCCCAGCCCAUCAUAAGAGGGUUUGUCCAAAACUCUAUAAAUAGCGGUAAGGUCCGUCUUCUAACUCUCAUUUUUCCAUGAACACUCUCUCACCUCACAUAAGGAAGUCAUGAGGGGCAGUCUCAUCACACUAGAAUUUGAAGGCCAUAAAGGAGAAGGACCUAAGCAUCGAAUCGUCGCCAAUCCGCAUAAAUAACGAUGGAUUCCAAAUCAGGUACGCAAAUCUUCAUCUACUUCUCAACAUGUUCAAGUUUCUACGUACGUCGAUCCUAGGAUGCUGCUUCGACAGCCAACAACAUAUGUACUGCCCCUUGGCAUCGAGGUGCUCGAAGAGGAAGAUGUGUGCUCUCACCACAUCAUCCACAUGAACAGGAGAUAUUUUGAGGAGAAAAGGGUAGUCAUUCUCAUUCCCCGAUAAUUUCAAAUGGGAUUUAUUGCAGCCAAAUUAAGAUUUUAGAAAGGGUGCGUCAUCGAAAUGAACAUGAACAUAUGCAUCGAUGGAUAAUGAUAGUCUUGUCUUCCUUUGGCUUAUAUUUGAUAUUUAACAAAGAAACGUUGUUAAAUUAUGGAAUUUCCACAUCCAUUUGGUGACCAAAUCAACCAAACUAUAAAAUAUUAAUAUUCUAAGGAUAUUUGGUGUGGAAAUCGGUUGAUGCACCGAUAUUUGCAGCCUAUAAAUAGGGGCUAGUGCUCCAUGUGCGUGUGAGUUGAGUGGUAGAGUGUAGUAGAGUGAGAGGAAGAGGGUGACGUGAGAAUGUUCUGUGUGGGGUCCGUGUGUGGCGUGAGCAGAGAGACGAGAAGAAAGUAGAGAGGUCCAACAAGUCGAGUGAAGAAGAGAUUAGAGAGAAAAGAGAAUAGUCCGUCCGUGAGAGUGAGAAAAAAUUGUGGGUCUUUGUACUCGAGUAUUGUAGGAGCUAAUUUGCACUGAGUAUGGCACGUGAUGUGAAAAAAUAUUGUAAUAAUAAAACUCAUAUUUUGUGAGUUAUAUUUAUGACACGUUUCCGCAAAACUCAACGUGUACAUCAUGGGUCUUCCUUCUUUUAUUGAUUAAGCUUCUGGAGCAUUGCAUCCGUCACUCCUUGUCGGACUCAUUGACAAUGUGAUGGCGUGCACAUGCCGAAAAAUCGUACAUGGGCGGUGUUUUAAAACGUUGGGAAAAGGUUUCAUAAUCAAUUUGCAUCCUCUCUUUUCAACAAUGACUUCAAAUUGCAUCUGUCAUCCAGUGCUAUUUUUGUCCAAUCUGUCUACCAAAUUAUCAUUUCCUUUCCGGAAUAUAACAAAAGACGGGGAAGCUUGGACACAUGUGAAAAUCGAGCAGGAGACAAGCCCACAAAAUGAACCUGAUACAUAUGAUUAAUGUGAUUCGGCCGGGUAUGCCUACUCCACAAUGAAAGAUGGACAAGAUGUUCAACUAUGAUCAACAAUAGUAGAUCAAUUUCGUGGUCACGAUUACAUGAGUAUAAAAAACUGUGAGGCAGAUCAAUUUUCACGGGUCGUGCUAGAUACAUGGUACACGUUUCCUCAACGUGUUUCUCUGUUUUUGUCUGCAUCUUUCUUAGAGGAUUAUAUGAUACGAACCCAGGACAGAUCAGUAACAGAAAUAGGUCUCACUGGAUGGCAUGAUGCCAGUUUAUUACUUUGAACAUUACUAUGUUCGGCCUGAGGUACCGAAUUCUAUCAUAUGCAUGGAACAGAGAUUGAUCUAGAGAUAGCCCUUUUCCUUGCAGCACUGGAUCGCUCCAUCAAACAUGUCCUCGAUCCCGUACUUAUACUCAAAACCGGCAUUCAAAAGCUUCCUUGACGAAAGGCUGGCAAACCUAGGGCCUUUCACUUCCUUCAAGGCCCUGAAAGGAUUUGAAAAACUCUGCUCUCAGUUCAAGAACAGCAAUAGUAGAUCUGUUAACAUCAUGAAAUGGGAUACAACAGGACUUACUCCGGUGAGGGUAUCUGAAACUCCGGAUAUCUUUCCGACAGAAAUUUGGACAUCUCUUCGAUGGUCAUCGUGGCCGAGGAACAAAUGUACCGGCCCUUGGCGUCAGGGUGCUCAAAGAGGAAGAUGUGCGCUCUCACAACAUCGUCCACAUGCACGAGAGAGAUUCUGAGGAAAAUACUGUACUCGUUCUCGUUCCCUGAUAAUUUCAGAUGGGAUUUUCCGCAGUCAAACUAAGACUUAAAAGAAGUGUGUAUCAUUGAAAUAAACAUGAAGAUAUGGGUGGCACGGCUUAUAGUCUUGUCUUCCUUUGUCAUACAUUUGACGUUGAACAGAGAAACGUUGUCAAAAUUGUGGAAAUUAUGCAUCUCUUUGGCGACCAAAUCAAUCAAACUGGUCAUGAAUUUUACUAUAGUAUGUAAGGUGUAUACCGGCAAGUUAUUGCAAAAUCUAUCUAUCAUAUUGACCAAUAUUACUUAUACCCCCAAUUAUGUGAGUCUCACAUGAUCAACGGUCUAGAUAUAUUUCACAUACCUAAUACCAAAGCCAGCGAAUUCCGGACAGAUGAGGCAAACUUGGGACAAAUGAACGGUCCGUGGACGAAUGAGGGAACAACCGUCACCACUUCCAACCCGUGCCUCUCUCCAAACUCGAGAACUGCCUUCUCGGUCAAUGUCUUUGAGAUUGCAUACGAAGAUAGAAACGUCGUGAUUCCUCUUAUGGAGUCAACAUCGCUCCAAGAGUCCUCGUCCAUUAUAUCGGCGCCGGAGUUGUUAAGUUGAACAGCUGACGCACUCGAGGUGUACACAACACGCUUCACGGUCUUGGAGUUCAGGCAGGCCCUCAGGAUGCCUAACGCUCCGUCAAUGCAUCUUUUGGUGACGACUGGCUCUGGCUCUCUGUCCUCAAAAUCCACCGGGGUGGCGACGUGGAAGACUCCGACACAGCCAUCAAUGGCUGGGCCGAAACUCUCGGGGUCGCCCAGGUCGGCUGUGAGGAUUUGGAGCCUUUCCGAUGCUCCUGGCAGAUUUUUCAAGAAGCUGAUGUCUCUAGUGCCAUCUGAUCAGUACAAAUUCGUCAAUCGUGUCCCAAUUAAAAGCUCAAAUAUUUAAUAGGAUAUGGAUAUGUCCUGUUAAUAAGAGAAGCCGAUCUAGAGAAAAUCAGCUGAUACAACAUGGCUCAUUCAGGAAAUAAUCUGAAUACACCAUAAAACUUGUCAAUAUGGACUGCAAGGAAAGCUGAUUCAAGAGAGCGUGAGAGAGUUCAUACGUAGAACAAGAGCAAGCGAUUUUGUCUUAGCCACCUAGGCAUAUGGAACAUGUUCAUAUCUGAUCAUAUAAGAGAAAUCUAAUCAUUAUAAACCAAGUCUAUCGCCAUUAAUUUAACCAGUAUUUAGUCAAUCUUAUGCUUUCUCAUGCAUGAAAAUCGGCAUAUGAUCUAUGUCCGACUGUAAUUCCGAUCAAAAUUUUUCCUCGAUGCCCGAACCGGACAGAGUAUAAAAAAUUUCUGCAAUAACUAACGCCCAAACCCUUUCCUCCUUUAUUUCUCCACAAACACAGACCAUUUGAAACGCAUACGUAUUGUGCGUGCACAAACAGAUCAGAACAUGUAUGGACUGCACAGAACAUCGGUCAAAAGAACUUUACACUGGACCGGAACUCAUGCCAAUUUCCAUGUUCAGGCAGGAAAAAAGAAGAAAGACUUACCCGGGUCGGGUCUGACAGUGGUCCGGACCGAGUAACCAUGUUCGAGGAGCCUCAUGACGAGCCAUGAAGCUAUGAAGCCAGUACCGCCCGUCACGCACACCGUGCCUCUGUUCCCCUCCAUAGCUUGGAGAAGUGAAGAGCUUCAAGUUUCAGGAGGCACCAAACUUUUUCGAGUGACCUUGAUGUUUUGGCCAGUAGAGUCUGCUUGCGUCUUCCUUACAAAGGACGCCACGUUGAAAAGGAGGGUGUAACCAAUUCAUUAAGCUUUCCCUUGAAGAGUUAACAAAGAUGAUAAUGUCCGAUUUGAAUGAUAACUGCCCGGUUUACUUUUUUACGAUAUGUCGCCCCCGUAGCCUAACACCGAAGUGUCGGAUGAAAAGAAAUCAUUCUACAUGAGGUAAAAGAAUGCCUAAGACACUAGCUAUUCAGAUAUUCGCUCACGUAACUUGAACUUUUGACCAUGUUAAAGACAAGGCGGCUUCUCUACCACUAGGCUACCAGACCUGGUGGUACAACACCACGCCUUAUAUGCGAAUUUAUCUAUUCUACAUUUUUUGGGUGGUCAACCUAAUAUAAGCCGCAUUAUAUAUAUCAUUUAUAACCUAAAUUUUCAUUUAAAUCAAAUAAAUAACCAAGUCCAUCACUUUGAUUAUGAAUUUAUCUAAAUCUAUUGUAUAAUGUCAAUUCAAUCCUAAAUUUUUCAAUUUGGUCAAUUUAAUUCUAAAUCUUUUGACGAUUUACCGAUAUAAUUCUUUUAGCUAAAUUUGGUUGGAAAUAACUAAUGUGGAGGCCAAUUGUCCUACGUUGCACAGUUAGGAUUGUCUUAUAUUGCACAGCCGACACUAAAGUUGACGAUUUUUGCAAUCUUUAAAAAAUAUAUAUUUUAUUGCAUUCAUUUUAAUUCUAUUAGUACCUGGAAAUAUUUAUAACAUAAGUUGUAUGCCCUAGCUCAUCCUGAAGGAAGAACUUCUCAUUCAAAAAAACUUUUAGCUCCUUUUGGGUCAAAUGUUUGAUCUUGUUAUUUUUUUAACUUCCCGAUCAUCCUUUCCUUUUCUUUCUUUUCUUCUUUUUUCCUGUUUUUCUCCUACUGUUUAAGGCCUUUGCGAUGGCUACGAAGGUCACUGAGGGCUCGUGGGACCUUGCUGACCACAAUGAGGGUGUCACAGUCCUCGCCUAAGUCUAGAUGAGGUGAGGGCAGGUGUGCCAUACUAUAGUUCCUUGCGGUCAACCUUUCCCCCGCUUGGAUUGGCUUAAACCCUUACCCAACAACCUAUGCUGGUCAGUUGAGACCCUAGACCGACGAAGGAAAAUAGGAAAAAAAGAAUAAAUGGAAAAAAAAGACAAAAAUUCAGAAAAAAAAAUUACAAGAAAAAUUAUAAAAAUCAUCUACUCACAUAAAAUAUCUAAAAUCCAAGUCAGUGAUUUCAAGCUAAAAUUAAUCAGAAAAAAUAUAUUAAUAGAUUGUAAAAAUAUUUAGGAUAAAAUUAAUCAUAUUGAAAUAUUUAAAAUUGAAUUCAUCAUCGUAUAAUAAUUUUAAGAUAAUUUAGACAAUUUUUUUGAAAUCGAUAUACAUACUUGGCAUUCUAGAAAAGGACGACCAUCUUGCUUUUCAACGGGUAGGGAAGGAUGUCUUCCAUUGUCCUGCUCAAACUAUUGGUGGGGGUUGGCGCUCCGUGUCAAUCCAACACAAGAGGGGCCCCACAUACUGAAGACCCUAUUACGUGUCAACAUUCUAUCAAAUUUGGACUUUUUGUUAAAGAAGUUGCACUUACUAUUAUUGCCCGACAUGUGUCAGUCAUUCACACGGUCUUUUCCUCUUACGAUAAAACUUUUGAAAACUGUGUCGCCCUGACUGGCAGCCCCCAAUAAUUCACACGUAAAGAAAUGAUUACUGGCAAUCUUUUUUCACAAUAAGCUAUUAUUUUGAUAAUAAUCCAAAGAUUAUAAUCUCAGUAAAGUCCAUUUAUGCAUGCGAUCUUUGUCGACAUUCGCUGGUGGCGUAGCGUUCACGAAAACCCAUUGAAGCAUUGGGGUCGCUAUCCUCCGACCACCUACCCACGCACGAGGAUCAUGAUUAGCGGAUCCGACUCCAGCCACUAUCAAUAAAGCAGAGUGGCCAGGUCAAGAUCCGGAUCUAUCCUCGACGGGCUCAGUGCCGGGGCCUGGGUAGAGCCGUUUAGCACACGGUUCCGAGAGAGGAGGAACUCUGCGAAGUACAUAAUCGACUUCAUCGUGCUCGACUCAUGUAAGACAUCGAUGAUAGACCAUGCAAGUUCAUUAUACAACGUGCAUACCGUGCAUAAGUACAUACAUAAGUAUCCCUAGAUCAGAAAAAAGCCGAGAUCUGAACGAGUUGGGAGCACCUUCAAACGUAACCGUUUUCUCUGCAGCUCCGAAUAGCUCCAUCGAGCAUGUCCUCCGGGCGAUGCUUGAACUCGAAGCCAAUGUCCAAGAGCUUCCUCGACGAAAGGCGCGGCAUCGAAUAACCUCUUAUUUCCUUGAGAGCGCUGAAAAUUUAAAAUGCCCUCUUCGUUAGUGCCAAACCAAUGGUAUUGCACAACCUUUUUAAGUACUUAGAAUUUUCGAAAUAUACAAACAUUGGCAAUUCAUAGAUUUGCAUACAAUUUCGACUUCGAAAUAAAGAAAACGUAUAUUCGAGAAUUCUUGAAGAGGAACAUGAGAACUGAAAAACCUUACCUCGGCGAUGGCACCGGAAGUUCCGGGAACCUCUGGGAGAGAAGCUCGGCCGUCUCUUCGAGGGUGAUCACGUCGGAAGAGCAGAUGAACCUGCCUUUGGCCGGAAGGUGUUCGAAGAGGUAGAUAUGCGCCCUCGCCACAUCGUCUGGAUGUACCACCGAUGUCUUGGAUAAACACACAUUCUUAUAUGGGUUUGCGUCUCCUGCAAUAUAUUAAGGUGCAUUAAAACCCGAAUUUCGCAUUUUAACUCGAAUGAAUAAUCAAAAUUCGUGCUCGACACUAGGCCGAGGCUCUUUCACCAUCCGACUAAUUCCUAUCAACGCGACGAUUCCUCAUCACCCGCACCGAGAAAUGAUCUAGGAGUGGCCCGAAGAGAAUGCGCAAGUGUAAUGCAAUUCGAUUGUCAGGUCCAUACCCAAGACCAUGGCCAGCGCUAUGCCAAUUGAGGCCGGAAGCUUGGGGCAAAGGAAUGGGCCAAUCAUGAAGGAAGGAACCACCACCACCACAUCCAGCCCCAUCCUCGCCCCGGCAUCGAGAACCGCCUUCUCCGCCAGCGUCUUGGAGACCAUGUAUGGCCCCUCAGCCGUCUUCAGUCUCCUGACCAUUUCGACGUCAGUCCAGAAGCCCUCGUCCAUGGUCUCUGCGCUGGUAGCGUUCCCGUGCACGGCGGCGGAGCUCGACGUGUACACCACCCGCCUCACCGUUCCAGCGCUCGAGCAUGCCUUCAGGAUGCCGACCGCCCCGCGGACAGCUCUCUCCGUGAGGACGGCCUCUGGCUCCCGGCCGUGGAAGUCGAUGGUGGCGGCCAUGUGGAAGACGCCGACGCAGCCCUCGAUGGCCGGGGCGAAGCUCUCGGGGUCGCUGAGAUCGGCGUGGAAGAUCUGGAGGCUUUGCGGCCCUUUCGCGAGGUUUGUCAGGAAGCUGAUGUCCCUCUUGCGAUCUGCAUGCCAGGGAAACACAGAAUUCACUGAAAGAAGCAAGCAAACAAUCUCGAACACAUCCGUGUACCCAAGCCGGAUCGAGUCACGAUCCGCCGUGCUUACCCGGGUCAGGACGGACGGUGGCCCGGACCGAGUAACCCUUCUCGAGGAGCCUCAUGAUCGUCCAUGUAGCCAAGUAUCCAGUCCCGCCCGUUACACACACCAUGCCUUUAUCGCUCUCCAUGAACGACUCUCUCUCUCUCUCUCUCUCUCUCUCUCUCUUUCCCAAGCUAGCUUGUGAUGGAAAUGGUGCUUUUUGAUCUCUCUUUCCCAAGCUAGACUGUGAUGGAAAUGGUGCUUUUUGAUGCUACUGGAGAGAGGCGGCCGACAGUAGCCAGGAAAGAAUGUUAGAUAUUUCGUCGCAUAUGUAACAGGGUUUGUGGACAUUCAUUAUGAGAUCCUGAAGUAACUCGCUUAAGAGUGUUCGCUUUGGCCAAUUCCGUGUCGAGCUUCGUGGUUGUGUCCUUUAACAAACGGGGAAGCAAUUUCUCAGAGGAGGUUACCUAUCCUGGAAGUGCCUUAAUUUGGGCUGGCUUAACUUUGAAGUUUCAAAGCAAAUCUUAACAUUAUAUCAAAAAACGCCUCUGUAAGUUAGUUUUUACACGUCUCAAAAUAGCUUUCUCCUUCAUUCAAUACAUAAUUUGAUUCAUUCAUGCACCAUUCACUAUCCUAGAAGCCUAUCAUGAGCCAUUCAUUGUCUAGGCCUUCUAGCCCCAGCAACUACUCCCCACUCUUAUCGGACCGAGUUGUUAUGUUUAUAAUGUAGGAUCCAUUAUCAUUAUUAUUAGAAGAUUUAAAUUUACAUAUAGAGAAGAUUGGCAUUCGCUCUGACGGAUGAUGACCACUCCCGUUCCCCUUCCCCUUCCGCAUACGCAACCAUAUGGAAAGCAAAGGACCCCCUUGAAUAGUUUGCAAGCGAUAGAAUCGAAAAAUCGGAGCCUUUACUUAGUCUAGAAUCGCCGUGAAGACCGGAAAUUUGAAGACCGAGCACUAGUACACCAGUCAUUCCGGCACGGUCAAAAUACUAAUUCCUAGAUGAACGGAUUUCAACUUCAUGCACGGUCGGAUCAUAACAUAACAGUGUUGUGAAUAUGUUUCAAAUUUGAGUCCGUAAUGAAAUCGGACUAAUGAGCAUACGUGAACUUGACCACGUGCAAGUCAGAGUAGCGCAUGUGAANNNNNNNNNNNNNNNNNNNNNNNNNNNNNNNNNNNNNNNNNNNNNNNNNNNNNNNNNNNNNNNNNNNNNNNNNNNNNNNNNNNNNNNNNNNNNNNNNNNNNNNNNNNNNNNNNNNNNNNNNNNNNNNNNNNNNNNNNNNNNNNNNNNNNNNNNNNNNNNNNNNNNNNNNNNNNNNNNNNNNNNNNNNNNNNNNNNNNNNNNNNNNNNNNNNNNNNNNNNNNNNNNNNNNNNNNNNNNNNNNNNNNNNNNNNNNNNNNNNNNNNNNNNNNNNNNNNNNNNNNNNNNNNNNNNNNNNNNNNNNNNNNNNNNNNNNNNNNNNNNNNNNNNNNNNNNNNNNNNNNNNNNNNNNNNNNNNNNNNNNNNNNNNNNNNNNNNNNNNNNNNNNNNNNNNNNNNNNNNNNNNNNNNNNNNNNNNNNNNNNNNNNNNNNNNNNNNNNNNNNNNNNNNNNNNNNNNNNNNNNNNNNNNNNNNNNNNNNNNNNNNNNNNNNNNNNNNNNNNNNNNNNNNNNNNNNNNNNNNNNNNNNNNNNNNNNNNNNNNNNNNNNNNNNNNNNNNNNNNNNNNNNNNNNNNNNNNNNNNNNNNNNNNNNNNNNNNNNNNNNNNNNNNNNNNNNNNNNNNNNNNNNNNNNNNNNNNNNNNNNNNNNNNNNNNNNNNNNNNNNNNNNNNNNNNNNNNNNNNNNNNNNNNNNNNNNNNNNNNNNNNNNNNNNNNNNNNNNNNNNNNNNNNNNNNNNNNNNNNNNNNNNNNNNNNNNNNNNNNNNNNNNNNNNNNNNNNNNNNNNNNNNNNNNNNNNNNNNNNNNNNNNNNNNNNNNNNNNNNNNNNNNNNNNNNNNNNNNNNNNNNNNNNNNNNNNNNNNNNNNNNNNNNNNNNNNNNNNNNNNNNNNNNNNNNNNNNNNNNNNNNNNNNNNNNNNNNNNNNNNNNNNNNNNNNNNNNNNNNNNNNNNNNNNNNNNNNNNNNNNNNNNNNNNNNNNNNNNNNNNNNNNNNNNNNNNNNNNNNNNNNNNNNNNNNNNNNNNNNNNNNNNNNNNNNNNNNNNNNNNNNNNNNNNNNNNNNNNNNNNNNNNNNNNNNNNNNNNNNNNNNNNNNNNNNNNNNNNNNNNNNNNNNNNNNNNNNNNNNNNNNNNNNNNNNNNNNNNNNNNNNNNNNNNNNNNNNNNNNNNNNNNNNNNNNNNNNNNNNNNNNNNNNNNNNNNNNNNNNNNNNNNNNNNNNNNNNNNNNNNNNNNNNNNNNNNNNNNNNNNNNNNNNNNNNNNNNNNNNNNNNNNNNNNNNNNNNNNNNNNNNNNNNNNNNNNNNNNNNNNNNNNNNNNNNNNNNNNNNNNNNNNNNNNNNNNAUUUUAUAUUUUGGAUCCUCUUUUCUUUUUUCUUUUUUCUUUUUUCUGUGUAGCAUGGCCCAGGGUGGCAUGUAACAAAUGAAAUGAACUAAGUUUUCAUGGAUUGAAGUUCAGUGAGGUCAAACAAAAGAAUUUUUGGGAGUCAUAUUAGCUACUUAACUCUCUUUUAGCAUGACCUAAGAUUAUAAACAUCUCUAUUAAAUUUGCGCAAUUUGUGUAGUCUGAAAUAAACAAGGAGAAAAAUUCUUCUCGCCCCAUUUUUUUGUCUAUCCUCUAACCGAUUAUUGCAGCUUACCCAUUGCCCCAUGCUUCCUCCACGACCCCCCAAGACCAUCUCGACAGCUACCGUUUCCGAUAGCUUCCUCCGCCUCGAUAAAAUAUUCGAUGGUUCCAUAGCGUUUACAUCAACUGCUGGUCAUGUUGCGAGUAUUUUUUACUCACGUCCGCUUAUAAAUUGACUCGUGUUUGUUGAUGUGGAUGGGAAAAGACAAUUAAAAUAUGUUUCUACUUCCACCGACCAUGAAAGUCGGACGAGCCGCCUCGCGUUUGUUUUUUCUUUUCGCCUUUUGAGGUCAUGGAUGAGCAAGGCAUGUGGUCAUGAUUGGGAGCGUCACCGGCCAGCCAUGAUAGCAGCAACAUCAAUAUGGACGAGCAAGGCUAGAGAGUAAUGUCCAUGCUCGACCAUUUUGUUUGGCCAGAUCCGGUCAGCUCUGUCAUCCCGGACCUUGGACAAGUCGCCGUCGCCAAGGUCGCAGAUCCGGACCAUCAACAAGUUCCAUCCUUCUACCUUGGUUGGGAAGACGGAACCAAGGGGCGAGUUCCUCCUUCUCCAUGGCGAUGGAGCUCUUAAUGGGCCUUCGAGAUCACUAGCCCUUCGAGUUGGAUGGCACCAUCCCGUCGCACCAUCUGCGCCCCUUAGCGGGCGUCGCUCGUGAUCAGCCUAAGCCACUCGCCCCGCCGUGUUGCUUGUCCAGAUAUGGCUUCGCCCAUGGCCACAAACCUUGCUCAGCAUAGCUCACGAGGCGGCUCAUCCACAGACUGCAGCUCGUCCAUGGCUACGAACCCUUGAUGACGAACUCGGAAUUCCAGCGGCCGUGAUCAGUAAACAAGCGCAAGCCUGGAUGGCCGGACAGCGCUCUGUGGAUGGAGGAGGAAGAGAGGAGUCAACGUCCACAUGUCAACCUAAAAUCGGACCCGUCAGCAGCUAUUGUGGCGCUACGAAAUCACUUCUUAGUUUCUCCACCUUUGUCCAACAUGCGAUAGAUCUCUCUCUCUCUCUCUCUCUCUCUCUCUCUCUCUCUCUCUCUCUCUCUCUCUCUCUCUCUCUCNNNNNNNNNNNNNNNNNNNNNNNNNNNNNNNNNNNNNNNNNNNNNNNNNNNNNNNNNNNNNNNNNNNNNNNNNNNNNNNNNNNNNNNNNNNNNNNNNNNNNNNNNNNNNNNNNNNNNNNNNNNNNNNNNNNNNNNNNNNNNNNNNNNNNNNNNNNNNNNNNNNNNNNNNNNNNNNNNNNNNNNNNNNNNNNNNNNNNNNNNNNNNNNNNNNNNNNNNNNNNNNNNNNNNNNNNNNNNNNNNNNNNNNNNNNNNNCCGGACUGAGAAUCAAGAUAAUAUUUAGUUUACAUUUUAUUUAUUUUUUAAGAUAAUAUAAUAAAAAAGUAUAUUUAGUUAGUCAUGUUCGUUUGAUCCAGUUUUCCCUUGGAAUUAGAAACCAAACCGCCACUCCUAGAAAUUGAACCAAAUCAGUCAAUCUAGAUGAUUCCCAAUUAGGGCGGUCCAUUUUGCACACCUCUAUCUCACACCGUCGAGAUCUAGAUGAGAGCAAUGUCCAUUUGUCUUGUUGGCAAAAUCUAAUGCCUCCAUCCCUUGGACGAGUGACAAUGCGCACAGAGAGAGAGAGAGAGAGAGAGAGAGAGAGAGAGAGAGAGAGAGAGAGAGAGACUGUUGCGUGGAGAGGGAGAGAAGGGCAUCGACAGUUGCUCAAAGAAGAGGGGAGGGAGAAAGGCAAAGUCAGCUAAAGUUUGGCGAAACCAGCGGCGAAAUAAUACUGUUAAUCCAUCAAUUUUGACCAAGUUAUCGCUUUUAAUUUGUUUAUUAUGAUUCUUCAAUUACUUUUCAUGUUCAAUAUAAUUUCUUAAACUUUUGAAUUUUUAAUCUAAUUUCUCAACUUCCUUAUAAAGUCAAAUCAAUCAUUUAGUACGAUUCAGAAGUUUUUGUAAGCGAGUUUUUUUUAAUAUCUUUUCAUUUCAGUAGUUUUUCUCCAAAAAAAAUUAAUAAUAUUACAUUACUUUGUGCCUUUUUGGUUUUUAUGAAUAUCACGAUAACUCAAUCAAAAUCUUUAUAAUUGUGAAGUGUAGCUAAUAAUCUCUAAAAUAGUAAAAUUAGAAUCCCAUUUGAAGCUGUGUUACAUUGGUAUUCCUAUUAUGUUAUUUAUAUAUGCUUUCAUAUUGACAUCUAUAAAUGAAAUUGAUUUAUCUGUAGAUAUAUGUAUUUGUAUUAAUCUAAAUCGUGUUCUUUAAUAAACAAAUAAGGAACAAGAUAUAAGACACUGAAAAUUUUAUUAAUUUGAAAAAUGAGGAACCUUGUUCUUAAAAGUGAUUGACUACGAAGUAGCGAUACCAUCCGGGAACCUUUGUAUCAUGUGAACACUUUGACACAUGUCUAACAUUUAGUCAACAGGUAUCAAAAUCAAUUUUCCCGAUACCCUUUGACACGUGAGUGGAAUUCUAACAUCUGUGUUCCGAAUUAUAAUACGCAGUUCUAACAAGCAUGUGAUCAAUUUUUUAAAUUUUUAAUAAAUGAUGGGUCAAAAUAUAAAUAUGUAAAAAAAAAUUAAGAAAAACAUAAUCUUUGUUGUAAAAUAUUGCGUUGCGAAUAUAUAAUAGAGAAGAGAUUGAGAAUAGAAAGCAAGUGAACACUAGAGAUAAUAGAGAAAGCCAGAUAUUUCACUAUAUUGUAAUCGUUGUUCUAUUGUACAUCAAAACUAAACUCCUAUUUAUAAGAGAACAAGAAUGUACUUAUUAUUAAUAUCAAUGUAUCGAAUGAUACAUGUACUGGAUAAGGAAAAUGAACAUUCAUUGUAUAGGAAGAUGUACUUAGAAUAUAUGAUACAAAUGUAUCAUAAUAAGUACAUUAGAUAAGAUGAAUAUAAUGAAUAUUCAUUCAUGUAUUUUAUAACACUUUCCCUUGAAUAUUCAUUGUAUUUAUUAUGAAUGUGCGUCGAAUGAUACUGCCUCAUUAAAAACCUUAGGCCGGAAAAACCCAGUGAGACAAAAACUAGACAAAAGGGAAAAAGAGUGCAGAGCAUAAACUUUAUGAUCUCUCCCUUUUAUGGAUGCAUUAAUUGUCUUAUUAAAAACUUUAAGUCGGAAAAACCCUGUGGGAAAAAAUUGGACAAAAAGAAAAAAGAGUGUAAUGCAUAUAUAGCCACUGCAGCGGCUAAUCAAUCUUGCAUCUUGUGAACUUGCCGCAUAUCAAUGCUGCAAUGCAUAAUUCAUAAUAUCUCCCCCUCAAUUGAGCCAUGUAACCACUGCUGGGGCUAAUCAAUCUUGCAUCUUGUGAACUCGCCACAUACCAACGCCAUAUACUAAUUUCUCAAAACUUGAUGUUGGCAAUGAUUGGGUAAAAAGAUCUGCAAGAUUAUUUAUAGAUAGAAUCUUUUUAACAUCAAUUUGUCGACUUUCUUGAAGUUCAUGAGUAUAAAAAAAUUUCGGCAAGAUAUGCUUGGUCCUAUCACCUUUGAUAUAUCCUCCCCUGACUUGUGCAACACAAGCAGCAUUAUCUUCAUAAAUUAUAGUGGGAGAAUUUGUAACCGAUAUUAAGCAACAAGAAUUAUGAAUAUGUGUUAUAACGGAUCUUAACCAAACACACUCUCUUCCAGCUUCAUAUAAAGCAAUAAUCUCAGAGUGGUUAGAAGAUAUAGCUACUAGCGAUUACUUCGUAGAAUGCCAAGAAAUAGCAGUGUCGUUAUAACAAAAUAAAUACCCGGUUUGAGAGCGAGCCUUAUGUGAAUCAGAUUUAUACCCAGUAUCAACAUAUCCAACUAAACCAGAGUUAGUGGAAUCCUUGAAAUAAUAUAAUCCCAAAUCUAUGGUUCCUCGGAGAUGACGGAAAAUAUGUUUAACUCCAUUCCAAUGUCUCUGAGUUGGCUCGGAACUAAAAUGUCCCAAUAAAUUUACCGCAAAAGCAAAAUCCGGUCUUAUACAUUGUGCCAAGUACAUCAAAGCCCCAAUUGCAUUGAAAUAUGGUACUUCGGGACCAAGUAUCUCUUCAUCAAAUUCUCUAGGACGAAAUGGGUCCUUUUGGGGAUCUAGAGACCUGACAACCAUAGGGGUGCUCAAUGGGUGAGCUUUGUCCAUGUUGAAACGUUUAAGCAAUCUUUCAAUGUAUGCUGAUUGAUGGACAAUUAUUCCAUUUGCUUUAUGAUCAAGCUCUAGACCAAGACAAAGUUUGGUUUUACCCAAAUCUUUAACUUCAAACUCCAUUUUCAAAUAUUCAGCAGUUUCAGCUAACUCUUCUGGAGUUCCAAUUAAAUUUAUAUCGUCGACAUAAACUGCUAUAAUAGCAAAUCCAGUUUCUAAUUUCUUAAUGAACACGCAUGAGUAGAUAGGAUCAUUCUUGUACCUUUCCUUAAUUAGGUACUCACUUAGGCGUUGAUACCACAUGCGACCGGAUUGCUUUAACCUACAAAGGAUCUUUGCAAUUUUAUUGAGAAUAAAUUGCGGGGAGUGCAUGCUUCAGACAUUUUGAAUCCCUCGGGAAUUUUCAUAUAAAUAUCAUAGUCUAAUGAAUCAUAUAAAUAUGCCGUCACAACGUCCAUAAGACGCAUUUCCAAUCUUUCAAAGAUUGCUAGGCUAAUGAGAAAACGAAAUAUAAUCAUAUCCAUCACAGGUGAAUAUGUCUCAUUAUAAUUAAUCCUAGGUCUCUAGGAGAAUCCUUGGGCAACGAGUCGGGUUUUAUACCUGACAACCUCGUUUUUCUCAUUUCGUUUUCGGAUAAAUACUCAUUUAUAUCCAACGGGCUUUACAUUAUCAGGGAUACGAGUUAUAAGUCCAAAAACAUCUCGUUUAGUUAGGAAGCUAAUUCAGCUUUAAUUCAUUCCUCUCACUUAGGCCAAUCUUGCCUUUGACGACAUUCAAUAAUAGAUUGCGGCUCACAAUCAUCAUCCAUAAUUUUAUGAGCAACUGAGAAUGCAAAAGCAUCAUCAAUGAUGAUUUCAUUUCGAUCCCAAAUUUCAUUACAAUAUGUAAUGGAAUUCUCGGUAUUCCCAGAGCUAGUGUUCCUUUCAUGGGUUUGCGCCUCUUCAGGGGCAAUAAACUCUUUUGGAGUAAGCACAACGCCAGGCUCUUCUAAAGCGGAUUCCUAAUUCUUUCCCUUUCGUUUUCGAGAGAUAAUAUCUUUUGAUCCUAUCGUAUACCACACUUCAAGUGCGCAAGUAAACAUGCAAAGGUGACAUUGCACGUAGAUAAUAAGCAAAUAUGGGACCAUCUACAGGAUGCGUCCACUAGUACCAUAAAAUAUCGAAAUGGUCCAUUUUGUGGUUGUAUUAGUCCACAAAUAUCACCAUGAAUUCUUUGCAAGAAUAAAGGAGAUUCAAGAUUAACCUUUGUUAUAGAAGGUUUGAUAAUGAGAUUUCCUUGUGAGCAAGCCUCACAAUUAUAAUCUUUGGAUAGCAAUAUCUUUAUAUCCUUUAAAGGGUGCCAUUUUGUAUUUUGAAUUAUUAUACCCAUCAUUAAAGCGCCAGGAUGACCAAGGUGAUCAUGCCACAGUCCAAACUGAUCAAGACUUACCAAUCUCCAGGAUGUGGUGGCGUAAGUUUUAACAGCCUUAAUCAUGACACAAUACAAACCCAUAGAAGAAGCUUCUAACUUCUCAUUGAUGGUCUUCAGGCCCAUCUUAUAAGAGGAAAUGCCAAUAUAUUUCUUAUAUAUUUCAUAAACAGUCUCAAUACGGUACCCGUUACGGCGUACAUCUUUAAAACUGAGCAAAUUCCUUUUGGAUCUAAUGCUUAGAAAUGCAUUCUCAAUAUGCAGGAUGGUGCCAUUUGGCAAAAUAAUUAUGGCAUUCCCAAAACCAUCAAUAAUUGGAACAGAACCUGAUAUUGUAUGGAUUUGUUUCUUACGCAAUGUCAUACUCGAGAAAAAGUGUCUACUACAAAAUAUAGUAUGUGUUGUUGCAUUAUCAAACAAACAAACGUCUUUUUUUUUUCUCGGUAUUUUCCAUUUGCAUUUAUAUUGACAACUUCAGGUGUCAAGUAUCAUAAAAGUUGCAUAUUAAUUAUAUAGUCGAAUAAAAUUUCAAAAAUAAAUAUUAUAUAAAGUUCAUAAGCAUUUCAUAACCAUAUUAAAUAACAAUAAAAAGUAAUACAUUUAAAGCGAAACAACAUAAAAUUCGAAAUUCAAAUUAUCAUCCACCACUCUGAUGCCUCAUCAAAGUAAUCAGAGGUCCUCAAAGAAAUCAUAGACAUCCAAUGAUGCAUUUGUUACUUCAGGAGCAAAAGGAGUCCCACCAACGGAGAUAUUGUUGGCCUCAACAAUGGUUAUGGUUAGGAUUGAUUUCAAUGGCAUGAGAUUCACCACGCUUGCCCGUAUUCUUUAAAGAUGCCUGGUAUAGAUCAACAAAAUGUUUUGGCGUACAACAGUUACGUGACCAGUGCCCAGUCAUGCCACGGCGAUGAUAAAUACUUUCAUUAAUCAUAUUUUUUGGCUUCUUUUCUUUGCCAUGAUUCAGGUCAAAGUUUGAUUUCCUAGGGCGGUUAAAUUUCUUGCCAUCCCUUCUAGGAUUAUGUUCUUGCCUGCGCUUAUAGCCCUUCAAAUGGCCAGUAUUUUUCUCAAAGUUAGCAUGUGCUUCAGGCAAUGCUUUUGAGCUAGCAGGUCUAAGAUCAUGAUUUUUUAGCAGCAAUUCAUUAAUUUGCUCGGCAGUAAGAAACACAAAAAUUAAUUCAGAGUAUGUGGCAAACUGACGCUGCCGAUAUUGCUGUUGCAAUACAAUAUUUAAAGCAUGGAAGGUGGAGAAAGUUUUCUCUAACAAUUCCGCAUCAGCGAGUUUGAUACCGCAUAACUCAAGCUGAGAAACGAUAUCAAAUAAAGCAGAAUUAUAGUCAGACACUAAUUUAAAAUCUUACAGUCUAAGAUUUUGCAAUCAUAUUGUGCUCGAGGGAGGAUAACAGUUUUGAUAUGAUCAUACCUAUCCUUCAACCUCCUCCACAAGAUAUGAGGAUCUCGAAUAGAUAAAUAUUGAGUUUGCAGACUCUCAUGCAAAUGACGGCGAAUAAAAAUCCGCGCAUUUGCUUUAUCCUUUUCAUUUGAGGUUCCAUCCUCUGUAAUUGUAUUAGCGAGACCUUGCCAUUGGAGGUGCAUUUCCAUGUCAAGGCACCAUGAUAAAUAAUUCUUUCCACUCACUUCCAGGAUGUGGAAUUUGGGAUUUUCAAUAUUUGUCAUAAUCCUUGCAAAAAUAAAUCCUUAAAUUAAUUAAAAGAAUUUCCAAAUAUCCACCGCUAUUUCAGGAGCAGAAUAAUACUUUUAGAUUUGAAAUUUGGCUUUGGGCAAAUAAAAAUAAAGAAUUGAUAGAAGAAGAUGAAGUAUAAGUUGAUUAAUAAAAAUAACGUGUUGUAAAAUAUUGCGUUGCGAAUAUAUAAUAGAGAAGAUAUUGAAAAAAGAAAGCAAGUGAACACUAGAGAUAGUAGAGAAAGUCAGAUAUUUCACUGUAUUGUAAUCGUUGUUCUAUUGUACAUCAAAACUAAACUCCUAUUAUAAGAGAACAAGAAUGUACUUAUCAUUAAUAUCAAUGUAUCGAAUGAUAUAUGUACUGAAUAGGGGAGAUAAACAUUCAUUGUAUAGGGAGAUGUACUUAGAAUAUAUGAUAUAAAUGUAUCGUAAUAAGUAUAUUAGAUAAGAUGAAUAUAAUGUAUAUUCAUUCGUGUAUUUCAUUCAUUCAUGUAUUUUCUAACAAUCUUCUCUUUUUUUCUCUUUUCUUAUAAGUCUCACUUCCCGUGACACGCAAUUCAUCCUUAAUGUUUAUUUUUUCUUUUCUCUUCCGACACGCUCUGACACGUAAGUCUCGGACGUGAAUUGCUAUUUUUUUUCCCUCCAAAUUUUAUGCAUUAUUAGAAUAUAAUUGAAUUUGUCAAAUUGAAAUAAUGAAUAAUAUUAACAAAUUACGAAUUAACGUUAUUGGUGUAAAUUCAUUCUACACUCUUUUUUUAUUAUAUAUUUAGUUUUGAUUUUAAUUAAAAUAAUCAUAAAAAUAAUAACUUAUCAUGUAUAUAUAAACAUAUACAUUUAAUAUACACCGUGUUUCAAUGUGUCGAAAUUCUUUAUUUUUGGAGAAUCAAUGUGUCAACAUGUCAGGUCACACGUGUUGUGUUAGUAUCAAUACUUUCUUGAAGAAUGAAAGUGUGUUUUCAGUAGUACUCCCAAUAGGAAAGGGAGAGUUGCUUGAUAGAGCAUGCAUUAAAAAAGACAGUGGAGAUGUUAUCGAUUUCUUACAGUACAUGGCAACAUAGAUGGUGCAUUAAGCUUCGGAAACAGAAAUCCUCAACAAUAUUCACGAAGAACAAAACGCACAUAUAUCAUGAUCUAUGCUAUAAGUGCUUCUGUUCUCAGUACUGCAAUAUCAAAUGCACAAGAACAGAAACAUACAGUACCAAGAUUAUUUAUGCGGUUUGCUAUCUCCUAUAUGGCGCUCGGAUAAAUUAGUUUUCACAAGCUGUGCUAGAUACAUGGUAUGCAUUUUCUCAACAUGUUUCUCUAUUCUUUCUGCAUUUUGUUUAGAGGACUAUUUUCAGCCAAGGUCAGAAAAGAAAUAGGUCAUACCAUUAUACGGCAUCAUGUCCACUUUCUGCUACUCUGAACAUUCCGACGUUCGGCCUGACGUACUGAAUUCCGUAGGCUUCGGCUGAUCUAGAGAUACCCCUUUUCUUUGCAGCAUUGGAUGGCUCCGUCGAACAUGUCCUCGAUCCUGUACUUAUACUCAAAACCGGCGUCCAACAGUUUCCUUGACGAUAGGCGGGGGAACCUGGGGCCUUUCAAUUCCUUCAAGGACCUAC
This 59191-nucleotide long non-coding RNA is filed under the name Eucalyptus grandis. Its description in RNAcentral is "long non-coding RNA (EGRA_LNC002712)". The record is from RNAcentral. Lineage: Eukaryota; Viridiplantae; Streptophyta; Magnoliopsida; Myrtales; Myrtaceae.